UCUUCCUCUACCCAUUUUGGCCUUGAACCUCUGUCCCGUAGUCACAUCUUCGAACCGGAGCGUCAGUAGGCCUUCUUUGCACAUGUCCAAACCACCGUAACCGAUUUUCUCUCAUCUUUCCUUCAAUUUCGGCUACUCCUACUUUACCUCAAAUAUCAUCAUUCCUAAUCUUAUCCUUUCUAGUGUGCCCACACAUCCAACGAAGCAUCCUCAUCUCCGCUACACCCAUUUUAUGUACGUGUUGAUGCUUCACCGCCCAACAUUCUGUGCCAUAUAGCAUCGCCGGCCUUAUUGUCAUCCUAUAAAAUUUUCCCUUGAGCUUCGGUGGCAUACGACGGUCACACAACACGCCAGAUGCACUAUUCCACUUCAUCCAUCCAACUUGUAUUCUAUGGUUGAGGUUUCCAUCUAAUUCUUCUUUCUUUUACAAGAUAGAUCCGAGAUAGCGAAAGCGGUUGCUCUUUGGUAUUUCCUGAUCUCCGAUCCUCACCCCUAACUCAUUUUGGUCUCCAUUUGCACUGAACUUGCACUCCAUAUAUUCUGUCUUUGAUCGGCUUAGGCGAAGACCUUUAGAUUCCAACACUUCUCUCCAAAAGUUAAGCUUCGUAUUUACCCAUUCCUGAGUUUCAUCUAUCAACACUAUAUUGUCUGCGAAAAGCAUACACCAAGGGAUAUCAUCUUGAAUAUGUCUUGUUAACUCAUCCAUUACCAAUGCAAAAAGGUAAGGACUUAAGGAUGAGCCUUGAUGUAACUCUACAGUUAUGGGGAAGCUUUCGGUUUGUCUUUCAUGAGUUCUUACGGCAGUCCUUGCUCCAUCAUACAUAUCCUUUAUAGCUUGGAUAUAUGCUACUCGUACUUCUUUCUUCUCUAAAAUCCUCCAAAGAAUGUCGCUUCAAACCCUAUCAUACGCUUUUCCAAAUCUAUAAAGACCAUGUGUAAAUCCUUGUUCCCAUCUCUAUAUCUUUCCAUCAAUCUUCGUAAGAGAUAAAUUGCCUCCAUGGUUGAGUGCCCUGGUAUGAACCCGAAUUGGUUGUUCGAAACCCUUGUCGGACAACCAAUUCGGGUUCAUUCCAGGGCGCUCAACCAUGGAGGCAAUCUAUCUCUUACGAAGAUUGAUGGAAUGAUAUAGAGAUGGGAAAAAGAAUUUACACAUGGUCUUUAUAGAUUAAUUAUUCAAUAAGCAAUAAAAUUAAAAUAAGAAAACCUAUUCUACUCAUUCGUUGGCACUUCUGGUUCUUGUUGUAGUGCUGCAACGCGUUCAUUAUCAAACUACCACUCCCAGAAUCUCGACUUGAACGUAUUGUUGAUAGCCUUCAUUAGAUUUGGGUCACUUUGGUCAAUAUCCCAAUUGGGCUGUCAUGCAAAAAUUAAUAAAUUAAAAUCUCACUAUAAUAUUAUAUUUAACAAACAUAAUUAUUAUUUAACUAAUGAAAUUAACACAUAUAGCUAACUCAUCAAUCAUGCGCAUCUUCAGCUCAUCGGGGAUGUCUCUCCAAGACUCCCAAUCCGCAGCACAUUUGGUACGUACCAAUGCUCAUACGUCGGACCAAAAGAUGGUGUGCUUAUUUGACUUCACAACCCAUAUGAUUUCAUCAGUAGUGAUUCGGUAACGGCUCCCACCAUAAGUGUGUCGGACUGGUACCGCAACCUUUUUCUUCUUGUCUAUCAACAAAAUAUAUUUUCAUAAUACUGAAGCUAAAUAAAAACUUUAUACAAAAUCCAAAACUUUUAACGCAAACCUUUUCCAAAACCGCCAUCCGUUGUCUUUGAUGAACGCGCACCACUGUCGGCCAUCGUACCAAUACUCAAAGAACAAAUUGAUUAUAAUCGUCAUAAUUGUAAAGCGUUUCUGAAAUGAAGUGUGAAGAAUAAGGAGAGCAGAAACACAUAUUUAUAAGAAGGUUAGGGACUUUGCGUGACAAAGAGUUUGUCACACAAAUGUAAGAUCCCACAUCGACCAACAGAGAGGGUGUGAUGUGCCUUACAUGUACAUACUUCCCUCACUAUAGCAUGAGGCCUUUUGGGAACUCACUGGCUUCGGAUUCUAUUGGAACUCCAAAGUUAAGCGAGUUCGGGCGAGCGCAAUCCUAUGAUGGGUGACCCACUGGGAAGUUCUCGUCGAAGUUCCCAGAAACAAAUCUAUGAGGGAAUGGUAAGCCCAAAGCGGACAAUAUCGUGCUACGGUGGAGUCGAGAUUGGGAUGUGACAACAAACAUCUGUAGUAAAUACAGUAUUUAUUUCUCUGAUUCAGAUGCACCAAAUACGCUGACCUCACUACAACAAAUCGGUCCUUUAGCGAGAAACAAAUUGUCCUCGAUGUAUAGUACAUUUUAGCAAGGAAAAUUUCGAGUUCUUGCAAAAAUUGAGUUCAGUUUGAUCUCCACACAUGUCAAAGAAACAGCAAGAAAAAAAAUUCUUUAUGCAAGGAAAUAUUUUUGUUGUUGUACAUAUUACUAGUGAGAACAAUUUAUUAUCUUGCUGUAAGUUUAGCGGAAAUUAUUUUUGCUUCUCACCAAAAUAUUAGCGAGAAAAUUUUUUAUUUUUCUCACUAAAUAAAAUUUUUAGCGAGGAAAAUUGAAUUCUCGCUAUAAUUGAGUUCAGUUUGAUCACCCUUUUAUUCACUUUUUUUCCUGUUGAUAGCCCAAAACCAUUUCCAAGUGUUAGAAAAAAAAAGAAGAGAAAACAUGAAAUCUCAAAUAAAAUCAUUUAGUCUCUUUCUCGUUCAGACACUCUCUUUGCAGAAUGAGAAAGAAUUAAGGACGCUACACUCUUGAGUGUUCUGAAACACUCUCCAAACUCACUCAUGUUGGUCGACGACGAUAGUGGUCACUGGUAAGCUUUGGCCCUCUUCUCUUCUCCAAUCCCCCUUUUCUUCGUUCUCGUUUUUGAACCCUAACGUUGAUUCUCUUUUCCCCAUUCUCUCUUUGUAGCUUCGCGCUCCAAUUCAUCUUUUUUUAUUGGGUUCACUUUGCUUCUCUCUUUCUAUUUCCCUUUAUGUGGUAAUUUUGUUCAUAAAUAGACCCUAUUAAAACUGAAUUUAAUUUAACUUUUGUGAUUUUAUGCACGAAUGGUUGUAGGUGAAAUUUUCUUGGGAUUUUAACCUACAACACGAAUUGCCCAUUUGUUUAAAAUAACAAAUUGUUGUCUCUUUUCAUUUCACCUACAACACGAAUUGCCCAUUUAUUUAAUUAAGCUUUUUCUAUGGGAUUUCAUCUUUAUGUUGUAACUUUUGUCUUUGCUAAUGUUUUAAUUGAUAAAUUGAUAUGAUUCUAACUAAUUUUUUUCAUUUGUUAUUUAGGGUAUAAUCGUGCAUUCUUGGAAAAAGGUUUUGGUAAAUUCUCUACAACUUUGUUUUAAUGAAUGGAAAAUUUCAUUUGUCUAUCUUUUUAAUUCAUGUUUGGGUGUAUCUGGGUUUGCAUUUGUUUACUAGGUAUGCCAUUUAUCCCAUUGGAAUUCCUCUUCAAUCCAAACACUCAAAAUUUUAUGCUCAAUAGUUUUAAUUAACUCCAUAUUUGAUAUGUAGUACAACUAGAGGGUUUAAAGUCUUUUUAUGGUGUUCACGACCAGAGGUCACUCUCUUUGCUCAUUCUUUUUAUGGUUAUUUAACCUUAUGUUUGUUUUUUUUUAUUACAGUGAUUAGUCAUUCAAAUACAUGACCACAGGUCACUCUCUGCUCAUCAUCUCUCUUUCUCUCUGUCUCCCAACCAUUUCUAUCAUGACCUCUCAAUUCAAAACAGCUGAUUUUGAUCAACUAAGGGUUGUGUUGUUAACUUAUAUUUUUUCAAUUGGCAGUAGGAGAACUAUAAUUCUAGUUGGAAGUCAUUGAGUAUACCAUCUGCUUUAUCUCCUCUUAGGCAAGUUGUUUGACUUCUAAUUUUAUUGUUUUAACCUCUCAUGUUGUCCAUGUUGGGAAUUAUAUGUGGAUUUUGAUUUAUAAGAUAUAGAUAACAGUUUUUAGCGAUGGAUCGAAGUUGGAUGUUCCUUAGACAUAGAUUUUGUGAUGCGUUCACUGUUGGUUUAAACUCUUUUAUAUUGGUUGUAAACAAACAUUUGAACGAGAAUCUUCAUACAAGACACGUUAUCCAUGUAGAGACUGCCUAAAUGGGAAUCUUCAUUCUUUGCAUGUUAUUUGUUCCCAUUUAAAAAAGUGAGUCAAAUGACCUAAUAGAGAAUGAUAGUGAAAAUGAUAGUGAUAGUGAGAAUCAUGAUGAUCACGAGACGUUUGAGAUGUUACGUAGUUUUCAAAGGGCAAUAGAUAUGGAAACUAAUGUGAUGUACUUGCAUGUUUUGAUUUUAGCAUUUUCAUAUGGUUAUGGUAAUUGGAGAAGCUACUAAUGUGUUAACUUUGUUAAUUUUUCUUCUCGAAGAAUAUCACUGUGGCAGGAAAGAAGAAGCGAAUCCAUUGUGACUUUUCAAGUGAGGCAUCAAUAGACAAUCCACAAAUUAAGGUUGUUGUAGUUAUAACUUCAAACAUUAGGGUUGAUGCUGUUAUAACAUCAGGCAGUACUCAGGGGAGUGCUAAUGGUAUGCCUUUUUAUAAAUCUCAAAAGUGUUAUGUUUUAUAGCAUGAUUUCAAUUGGUUCUCUUUUUCCUUGGUCCUCAUCCUUCUUGUUCCUCUUGUUUUGUACUUUCUUUGUUUUUGUAAAGGGUUCUUGUAUCUUGUGUUAAAUAAAAUGUUUUAGUUGAACAAAAGAAAGAAAAAACGAUCAAAGACCCAUGGAAAGAAUUUUGACAAACUGCAAGAGCAACUUGGUGGUAAGAUAUUGAUAUGUCACUCCCUCAUGGUAGUACAUAUAUUAAGAAUGCAUUACAAAGACGGUUUGUUGAUUUUCGACACAGCUGAAGAAGCAUUUUGAUUCCUAUCCAACUCUAGAGGAGGCACAACAAAACAAACAUGAGGAUGUAACUAGUCAUGAGGAAUGGAAGUUUAUUUGUGAUCGUUAUGCGAGUGUUCAAUUCAAGGUACACAUGUAUACUAAUGAACUGAAAUGUUGUUGUCAUGUGUGUUGUUUAUCUUCUUCAUGUCACAACAUUUAAUUUUGCUAUGCAGGAACAUUCAGAUAAGAAUGCUAUCAAUAGGUCUCAUUUGACUUACAAUCAUAAAGCGGGGUCAAAAUCCUUUAGGGCCCAUGAAUAUGAGAUUGUAAGAUGUUUUUUUUUUCAUAAUUUUAAUCUAGAUUCUAGGUGGAUAAAGGAGAUUAACUUUAGUUUGUGAUCCAUGUAUUAGGAAGCCAAAAGUGGAGAGCAACCAAGUGCAAUUGAUUGCUUUGAGGCUAUGCACACAAACAAAAAAACUGUUUGGGAUAAAGGAGCUAAACUAAAGUGGGUAAGUUAGUUAUGUAUUUUAUGAAUCCUUGACAAUAUAUGUUACGUGAAGAAAUAUUCAAGCAUAAUUUUUUUUUACUUAAAUGUGAUCAUAUUUUUUUACUUAUAAUGAAUAUUUUAUGCCCCAAAACAUAUUUUUUUUGUCUGUGAUAUAUAUCAAGAGCACACACAUAUCAUCCAAAUUUACUUAGUAUAUUUUGUUGAAUGAAACACAAUAUUCGUAGUCCAAAUUCAUUGGCUCCCUGUAAUUCUUGGAGAUACAUGCAGAUUGUGUAUUCACUUAGUUAACGUGCUGUAUUUUCAUUUGUAGGAAGAGAUGAUAGGUAUGAAAAAUGACACAACUCUUCCAAAUGGUACUGUGACAUUGACAGAUGAUGAAAUUGUUUUAGAGGUCCUUGGUCACAAGUCUGGGUACUUCAAGGGUCCUUCAAAGUUUCUUUCUUUUGAAGACUUUGUGUUGAGCAAACAUUUAGAAGAAAGAGUUGAGACUCAACAACAAGAGCUUGUGACAACAAAACAAGAGCUUGAUGAAACAAAAGAAAAGCUUGGUGAAGAAAAACAAGAAAUCCAAGAAUUGAAGGAGAAUCAAAAGAAAUUUGAGGAACUCUUACACAAAAUAAUGGAAGGCCAGCAACCACCUCCAUAGGUAGUCCUUUGGUUAUGCUGGAAUAUGUGAACUUUCAUAGUUGCUAUCCAUUAAUCUUCACCUAUUUUGUAGACUAUGAAUUAUCAUUGUAAACUAUUUAGUGUUUUGGACUACUAUAAUUAAGUUUUAGUACUUUUCAUCAUUCAUUCUUGGCACUAAAUUCCAAUUAUAGGGAGAAACCAAAUUCUCACAGUAGGUUACUUAUGAGAAUGAUUAUCUUCAACUCACAACAUGGAAUUUUACCUUCAUCAAAAUUCUCACUAAAGGCUUUGCUAUAGUAAGAAAAUAAAUGUCUUUUGGAUACUUUUCAACAAUGAAAUUUAGUCUCACAAUAUAUGAUCUACAGUGAGAGAUAAUAUGUUCAUUGCUGUAAAACUUACUUACAAAUUCCUCGCCAAAAAAUUCUAUAGGAGAAAUUUGAUUAUUUUUGCGAGGAAUUUUGUCCUCGCACAAGUUAUUGAAUGUCAAUAAUUAGGUUGUCAAAAGGUUUUGGCAACCACAUUCCUACCCUUUUAGCGAGAAAUUAUCACCGCUUUAACUCCACCGUGAGAAUAAGUUCCACUCUUGCUGUAUCAUUUUGAUGAGGAAAAACUUCCUUGCUAUGUACCUUCCCCGAUGGGCCUACUACGAGGAAUGAGCGAGGAAAACAUUUCUCGCUAAACAAGUAUUUUGUUGUAGUGCCUAAAACUAAACGCCUUUUGAGCAACGAAGGGUUUGUCGUGCAAGGUUUUGCACAACGACGUCCUUUGUCACGCAAAUGUUGUAGCAAUGAAACUAAUCCAUUGUAAUUAUGAAGUUUUGUCAUGCAAACGUUGUAGCGAUGAAACUAAUCCGUUGUAAUUAUGAAGUUUACGUAAACUUCAUAAUUACAAAUAAAUUUUUAGUUAUAAUAUGUAUUCUAAAAAUAUUUACUACCUUAAAUAAAUUGAUAUUAUAUUCCAAUCAAUUAAUACCUUAAAUAAAUUGAUAUUAUAUUUCAUUCAAUUAAUACCUUAAAUAAAUUAAUAUUAUAUUCCAUUCAUUUAUUCAAAUAACCAAACAGGAAUUAAAACCUAAGUAAGUCCAAAUACAUAACCUAUAAAUAAAAACCUUAAAUUUAAAUAUUGUCAUCCAAAACAUAAAUUUAAAACUAUUAUUUCGAUGGUACUGGUCCAUUUUGCAAGACUUCAUAACACCAUCGAUUGGAACCUCCCUCAAAUGCAUCAUCCAUCAACUUCAUCAACUGUUUGUUCGUAUCAUCAUCAAGAGUACUGUUACACAUAUAUGCAAAUAAUUAAUUCUAACAUAUAACAAAAAAUUUCAAAAAAUUAAUUAUUGAUCCAUGAACAGUAUACUUACUAAUAAUUCAUCCAUCACUGCCUUCUUCACAUUCUCAGGCACAUUUUUCCAAGAACACCACUUAGUAGUAGGACAAUUAUUCCCCAUGUCUACAGCAAUCGCAUGCGCGAACUUAAAUAGCUGUCUUGGAUCAUUUGGGUUGGCGGCGGGAACGCUCGCAUCCUUGUUUUUAUCCUCCAUCCCAGCAUGAACAGAAUUGUGAAGAAUAAGGAGAAUAGAAAUGUGAAGAAUAAAGAGAGCAGAAGCGAAUAUUUAUAGGAAAGUUAGGGCCUUUGUGCGACGAAGGCUUUGUCGUGCAAAGACCCGUACUAAAUCCAAUCCAGAUUCUGUUGAUUCACACGCACUGAAUUGUCUAAUUCAAAAUUGACAACAACUUGCGCGACGAAGUCUUCGUCGCGCAAAUGUUCCUUUGAUUCCCAUGCUUUGAACACUCUGCCCAAAAAAUUGAAGGAUCUUUGUGCAACGAAGUCUUUGUCAAGCAAAGUUUUCCAAAGAAAAUAGUCUUUGCGCAUUUAUUUCGAGCCCAAAAAAAAAAUCCCCCGUAGUUUUCUUACUAAGUUUGUGUGACAAACAUCUUUUUUUCGUCGUGCAAACUCUCUUGCAUGACAAAGGUCUUCGUCGUGCAAAUUUCACCAACCUUGCACGACGAAAGCUCUCUUAUCGUUGCACAAAACACCCUUGUGCAAUGGAGUUUUCUUUGUCGCGCCAAUAAUUUUUCCUACUAGUGAGACAAGCAACUUGGGAUGUGGAUUAAUUUACUUGUAGAAUAAGAAAAAUCCAAAUUACACCAUUCAAGAACACUCUCCGUAGUUCUUUCAAGAACAAAAAUACCUCAAAAUCCGAUUAAAGCCAAAACGAUCUCCACUAGGGUUGGGAUUGAUUUCAAUUGGUUUGGUGUUGUGCCAAAAUCGAAAACUGAAACAAAAGUACUGUUCGGUUUGGUUAGAUUUUUACUAGAGUUUUGUUCGGUUUGGUUUAGUUUCAGUUGGGUUUUUUUUUUUUUUCCAGUUUGGUUUGGAGUUCGGUUCUGCUUUUAUCUUUCAUAUGAUGCCUAACGUCACACAACAUUGCAGCUUAGUCAACAAGAGGAACUAAAAAGGCUUUACUACGCAAUGAACUUAAGAUGGCUUAUAAUAGGGAUAGUGCUAUUCACACUUAUUUUUAUCUACACACACUCUUGUUAAUUUUUUACCAUUGAUUUUCUUCAAUUCAUUGAAUCCGAUGACAAAACAUUGAGAGGAAUAUGUGAAAAGUAAAGAUGCGUGUGUGGAUAACACUACCCUACAAUAAUUCACAUUGUUUCACAAUGCUUAAAAGCAAAUAAAAGGAACUUAAAGGCAUAACAACUAAAGUUCGUUUGAUGUCAGUUACUUAUAAUUGAUUCAGAAGGGAUGAACUUGCAUCAGUAUCUCAAUUUCAAUUCAACCAUGGGUUUAAUUCACACUUCAUGAAUAGAGAAAUAUUUACCAUCCGAAAAAAGGUAAAAACGAGAUCUUUGUCCAAAAAAAAAAAAAGCCAAUAAUUUUGACAUUGCUUCCUCAAACAAAACCUAAUCUAAUUCUAAGUUUUCAUUCCCAAAUCCCAUAACAAACCUGACUGCACAGACAAUAGUUUAGUUAGGUGCAUGUAGGUCAGAUAAAAAUUUGAAAGAACAGUUCACGGUGUCUCAUUGUCUAUCAUAGUUAAACCAAAUAGAAGCAUCAAACCCCCAACCCAGACCUAGUUUACAUUACAAACAAGAAAAACAAAAACACACAAUAACCUAAUCACAUGUCAAAACAAACUAAUUAAGUAGAUGGAAGAUCCACCCAAAUAUCAAGAGAGCAGAGUCAGCGACUCAGCAGACCACCCAAACCUUACCUCCAUUUUUAAUCCUCCACAACACAACUAAUGAAAUUGAGCGCUCGUUUAAUUCGAAUUUGAAAGAUACUUGCCAAGGAUAAAGUUUUGAAAUUCCUUUCUUUCUGUGGAAGCCAAGUGCAUGCCCAAUCCCAAAGGAAAUCACAAUCCAUACGAAAUUAAGCCAACUGCAUACAUUUGCCAUAUAUAUAUAUAUGGCUAUUGUUGUUUCCUGACAUUCUUCCCCUGCAGAAAUUCUCUUGUUAAAAAAUCUGGAAUGCAAUUAUGGCUGCCUUUAAUGUAUUCAAUUUCAAAAUAAAAAAUACUUAAUAUGCCUUGCCAUCGUACAAAAAUCUGUUUGGAUGCAAUGUUUUGAACAUCUUUUUGUAAAACAUGUUUUGCAGAUUUGCAAUCAACACGGACUAAAAACUUUUGAUUUAAUAAAUCAUCUUGAAAUUUGCUAAUGCAUAAUACAAUAGAUAGUAUCUCUUUCUUAAUAGUACUAUAAUUAGUUUGUGCAGGAUUCCAAACUUCUGAAUGGAAACGAACAAUUUGUUCAGGAGAUUCAGAAGAAAUUUUUUGCUUAAGGAUACCUCCAUAACCUGCAUCAGAUGCAUCCGUUUCAACUAUUUUAAAAGAGUUGGGAGUUGGAAUGCCAAGAUAAGGCAAUGUCUUAAUAUGAGUUUUAAUCUGUUUGACAAUAGAAGUAUAGACCAUGCUGGAGGAUUAUCGUUAAGACGAUCAAACAAUGGUUUACACUGCUGACGAAGAUGAGGAUAGAAUUCUGAAACAUAAUUUAAUGAUCUAAGGAAUCUUUGAAGCUGAGUUUUAUCAGUAAUCUGAUCUGGGAAUUUAUCAACAAAUUGAAUGACUUGAUCUAUAGGUUGGAUGGUAGACUGAUGGAUAUUAUAUCCUAAAAAUCUGACAUUAGUCUGAAACAGUUUGAUCUUAGAAGCAGAUACAACUAAUCCAUUGGACAUAAUGAUUCUAGCAAACAAAUGCAGAUGUUUCCAAUGUUCGUCUAUUAACUUUGAAUAAAUAAGCACAUCAUCAAUGUAAACAAUCGAAAAAUGGCUAUGUUGAUUAAAAAUCUCAUUCAUAAUAUUUUGAAAUUCACUUGGUGCAUUUUUAAGGCCAAAAGGCAUUGCAUUCCAUUCAUAAUGCCCAAAAGGAGUUACAAAAGCUGUUUUGUAUUUAUAUUCAUGUAUUUGAAUUUUCCAAAAGCCUGAUUUUAUAUCAAAUUUUGAAAAAAUAACUGCUUAAGAAAGUCUCUUUAUCAAAUCCCUUUUGUUGGGAAUUGGACACCGAAUCCAUUCUAAAACUUCAUUCAAAGGUUUAUAGUUAAUAACUAAUAUGGGAGUUCCUCUCUCUAAUUCUGCGUUCUUUUGAACAUAAAAUGCAGGGCAUGACUAUGGUGAUUUACUUUUAUGGAUAAUUCUUUUAUUAAGAAGUUCUUGGAUCUUUGUUUUCCAGAAUUCCAUGACUUAUUGACUCAUUUGAAUUGGUCUGGCCUUAGUAGGGAUUUUUGACUCAUUAAACUCCUUUAUAUAAGGAAGUUUAACAAUAUGUUGUUUACGGUGCAAAAAAUCAUUGGGAAUAUCAGAACAGACUUCAUUAACAAGUUUCUCCUGAAACUUAUCAAUAGAUUUUAACAAAGAAUUAUUUGUUAGCUGUUCUUUAAUUCUUUUGUGAUUAAUUUCUUCUUUUAAGAAAUUAAUGUAUUGAGACUUAUUAGUGAUAAUACUAAUAGUUUUUGAAAUAUUAUUUUUCUGUAAAUGUCUUAGUUUUUUGAGAUUUGUUUCCAGGCAGAACUCAAACGUGACUUUCUGUCCUAAGACUCUAGUGGUAAUCCUAUUGUGAUGAAUCUUAAAAGGAUAUAUGCGUGCUUAAAAUGGGAGACCUAAUAUGACUGGAUUAGAAAUAUUUUUUAUUAAAACAAAUGGGGUUUUAAAACAAAUAUUAUUUUGGCAAACAUGCACUUUAGGAAUUUCAUAAUUUAGAUGCAUUGGUGAUUGGUUUGCAGCACUAAGUAUUUCUGUAGACUUGUGAAAAUACUUGGUAGGUAUUAACCUUUCUUGAAUACAAUUCAAGUCUGCGCCCGAAUCAAUUAAAGCUAUAGUUUCUAAAUGAAAAUCUUCAAUUAUUAUUCUGAUUUUAGAAUACCUUUCUAGAUCCUUAUUUUGUCUAAAAGACCUAGGACUAAAUUCUCUGUGGAUUGAGAACCUGACUCAGAACUGGAAGAAGAGCUGGCAAGUUCUUCUUCACGAGGGUUUACUAACAAAUGUGUUUGGACUUUACUAAAUUGUGUUCGGACUUCUAGAUUUUCGGACUUUAGAAUCUCUUGCAGGAGAUCUUGGAUAGUAAUUUCUUUCUUAGUCUUAUUAAACCUUUCUAAGGUUGUGCUAAGAGAGAUUUUUGGAGUAUAAUGGUUUUGGCUAGUGCCAGGUUUAUAUGAGGAAACCAAUUUCUUUAGUUUCUUUAGAUAAAAAGUUUUAAGUUCAGGGUCAUCGACUUUACCUAUUAAUUCAAGUAGAAAAACUUCUUGUUCAUCUUAUUUAUUUAGAACUGAGAUUUUUUUAUUGCAACAAGAAUCGAUACAUCCGACCUUGAUGUUUGGAGAUGAGCUAAUGCUCGAAGAAUUGUUAUCAGAAUAGGAUAAUUCCAAAUCAUCUUCUGAUUGACUAUGGUCUGUGUCUUUUAAUUAUAAAACUUGGAUCAACUGAAGCUUCUCUUCCUCAGAGAUCUUCAACUGGUUGAUAGUUUUCUUAACACGACAUUUGUUGGCAUAAUGGCCAAAUUUGCCACACUUGUAGCAUUUGCCCUUUUGGGUUUGGUCUUUGGGUGGAAAUUUCUUGGAAGAUUUCUUCUUCCAUUUGGAAUGUUUAGGUUUUUCAUAAAACUCAUUUCUUUCAAAAAUCUUAUGUUUAUAUUUAUUACAUUUGGGAUGUCGUUUGGAGUAUUUGGUUGGAUACCUAUUGUAGGUAUCUAACAUUUUCUUUUUGUUGGAAUGAGCAAUAGAAGGUAAUCCAUAUUAUUCACAAAACCUUCCUAGUUCAUAUUUAGCGAUGGAUGUGUCUUUAUUAACUUGUUUUGAAAUUUUCAUAUCUAUACACAUUUUCAAUCCUUCAUUCUGGAUAACAUUGAUUAUAUUUCCAUAAGUAAGGGUAUGAUAUAGUAUGAUUCCAUCUUCGUUUACUAAAAUAUUUCUGAUUUUAUGUGCAAAAAGAUUUGGUAAUCCAUUUAGAAAUUUUUCUUUCCAAAAUGGUUGAUUACUGUCUUCUCUGAGCAUGAUUCUAGACAUGAACACAUCUUUGUACCAUCUAAAGUUGCUUAGAGUUGGACAUCUCAGAUUGCUGAGUUGAUCAUGGAUCCUAGAGGUGACAUUACUAAGUGUUCCUAUGAAAUGUUCUACGAUUGUGAAAAGAAGUGUAUUAAUUACAUCAGGGACGCCUUGUCCAAUAUUUUCAUCAAAAAUAGGUAAGCCUUCUUCAUCUUUUUUAACAACAUUUAAUAUUUGAUUUCUGGAUUGUUCAAUGAGAUGUUUCUCCCACCAGGAAUGAAGCAUUCCAGUAAAUCCAGUGACCAAAAGGUCGACAACUUGAGGUUGGCUAAGAUUAUGAUUGGUAAUAUAACUUGUUGAUGCACAAAAUCAGUGAGGACUUUGGUACAACAGAAAGUGUUAAGUUUGUGACCUUCGCUAGAUUGCUCCGGUUACUAAUGUGGAUAAGUAUGUAAAUGGAUAGAGAUAGGGAAGCAAACACAAGAUGUACGUGGUUCACCCAGAUUGGCUAUGUCCACGGAGUAGAGGAGUUCUCAUUAAUUGUGAAGGGUUUACACAAGUACAUAGGUUCAAGCUCUCCUUUAGUGAGUACAAGUGAAUGAUUUAGUACAAAUGACAUUAGGAAAUAUUGUGAGAGAAUGAUCUCUAUUUAUAGAAGAGAGUUUCUAGUUUCAUUCUGACAUUGACACGUGUCUUGUUGUGAUUGGCUUCUGAUGUUGACACGUGUCGCACUAUGAUUGGCUUCUGAUAUCGACACUUGUCGCGCUGUGAUUGGCCUCCUGGUUGGAGGGAAACUCUUCUGGGUCCUUGACGGUAUAACGUUGACCGGUGCUCAGUAGUUUCAGGAUUGGUCAAGUAUGGUACAAACAGUGCUCCCCUAAGUUCCCGAGUGAGGGAAGCUCAUCGAUUGGGGACUUGCAAGAUCCAAGCCAUUGAGUAAUCACGAAACUUCUAAGUACCGAAGUGUGGUAUCAUUUUCACUUGAAGCUUACUUGUAGUUUCGGGCUUAGUCAAGUGCGAUACAAAAUCCUAUAGUAGGAGUCCCCCAAGUCGCCGAGCUAGGAGAUUUGCCGAAAGAGGUAACAGACAAAGUAAGCAAUCAGACUUCCAAGCAAGAAACUUGGAUUAGAGGUUCGACUUCGACUUCCGGUUGAUUGUUCUCUUUCACUUUAUGUCGUAAACAGCAACAAGGAUAAGGAGAAGCAAAUGGAGAAGAGAUGAUAUGAGAUACUUUUGCUUUUGAAGAAGUAACUUUCCACAAGCUUAUUCUUGAACUGGACCGGAGGGUUUGUUGGUUUCCUCUAGAGUAUAAGGCCGACUCAAGAAUUUGAGGGUCAAAACAAGUCCAUCAAAUCAAGAAUGCGUUCGACCUUGAUGAUAUGGGAUACUUUUGUUGUUGACGAAGUAAUAGAUGAAUUGGCAUGUGUUCUGUUGCGCUUGUCUCCACAUGCUUCCUUGUAUCCUUCUCACUUGCCCUAUCCGUUCCUCAGGCAGAUGUGGUAUCUUUUCAGGAAGCAUAAGAUGUUGAAGAUGAGUACUCGAGAGCAAUGCCAGAUAAGUAAUCAGGCAAGGGGUUCCAGCCAGUCAGUUCCUGAUUAGAAGCUUGAUUCCAAGUGUUGACUGAUUGCUCUAUUUCUCCUUGUCUUGCAGGUAAGAACAAGGGCGAAGGAAAAGACAGGGAAAAAACAUGAUAUGGGAUACUCUUGCUUUUGACCCUGAUGAUGUGAGAUACUCUUGCUCUGGUGUGGCUAGUUUGCAUAGGUGUUAUUGGGGGGGAAGAAAGCUGAGUAUUUCGAGAGGCUUCGUUGGGAGUGCCCUCUCAGAUAUGAGGAAGGGUUGAGCAUUUUUGCAGAUCUGCCUGUCCGUGGGGGAUGAAGGUCAACAUAUAUAGGAGUCUCCCUACCAACAAGUAGUAAUGCUAUUCCUUUACCCUUCUUAGUCGUAGUAAUGUAGUGGGAGCUGCAAGCUUCACGUGUUUUAACUUUAUCAGAGCACUUUGAAAAAGUGGUAUGUGGUAUCUAGAAAGCUGAUGUUGCAUGUGAAGAUUGCAGACAAGCUUUAUUCAAGGAAAUCUGGCUCCCGAAGUUCGGAGAGCAAUGCCUCUUUAGUUUUCAAACAAGCAAUCCUGUCGGGGAUCUGGCUCUCGAGAUUCGGAGAGUGGUGCCUCUUUGAUUUUUGAGAAAGCAAUCCUGUUGGGAGUCUGGCUCUUAAGAUUUGGAGAGCGGUACCUCUUUGAUUUUUAAGAAAGUAAUCAUGUUGGGAGUCUGGCUCUCGAGAUUCAGAGGGCGGUGCCUCUUCGAUUUUUUAGUAAGUAAUAAUGCUAUUCCUUUACCCUUCUUGGUCAUAGCAAUGUAGUGGGAGCUGCAUCAGAGCGCUUUGAAAAAAUGGUAUGUGGUAUCUGGAAAGCUGAUGUUGUGUGUGAAGAUUGCAGACAAGCUUUAUCCAAGGAAAUCUGGCUCUCGAAGUUCGGAGAGCGGUGCCUCUUCAGUUUUUGAACAAGCAAUCCUGUCGGGGAUUUGACUAUCGAGAUUCAGAGAACAGUGCCUCUUCGAUUUUUGAGAAAGCAAUCCUGUUGGGAGUCUGGCUCUUGAGAUUUGGAGAGCGGUGCCUCUUCAAUUUUUUAGAAAAUAAUCCUAUUGGGAGUCUGGCUCUCAAGAUUCGGAGAGUGGUUCCUCUUCUAUUUUUGAGCAAGCAAUCUUGUUGGGAGUGUUUUCUCGAAUGUGAGUAAAGGUUGGGCAUUUUUGCCAACCUGCCUUGCCAUGGAGCACGGAGGUUGACACAUAUUGGGACUUUAUAGUUAUCAAGCCGUGAUGCUGUUCCUUUACCCUUGUGGGUAAUAGUAGGGUAGCUAGACCUUCAAAAUUUAUGUGUCUAAACUUUGUCAGAGAUCUUUGGCAAAGUUAUCUGUGAUACCCGAAGAGUUAAUGUUGCGUGUGGAAAAUGGUGCCUCUUCGAAAUCCGGAGAGUGGUGCCUCUUCGAUUUUUUAACUAACAGCCCUGUUGCCCUUUCUUUUAUAAGGGCACCAAUUGUGUGCAAGGAGUUCAUUUAAAGAGUUAUUGCUUGUAGGAAUUUUCCCCUUACUUAAGAGAUUUAUUGCACCUCAUUUCUCCUUCAUCAUUUCUGAGAAUGUUUGGCCCAUCCGACCGUCGGUUUGACUUGAACUUUGGUGAAGAGGCAGCCAUGCCUUCUUAAGACAACAUAUGGCGCCCAUCCUUCUUAUCCCCUACUGGUCUUCUUGCCAUUGGGGACUCUAUGAUGAAAAAUGAUAUGACCGCUGCGGUGGUGGCCAGGAACCUUCUCAUUCCCAAAGAUAACAAACUACUAUCCAAACGGUCUGAUGAGUUGACUGUUAAGGAUUCUCUAGCUCUCAGUGUUCAAUGUGCAGGUUCUGUGUCUAAUAUGGCCCAACGCCUAUUUGCUCGAACUCGCCAAGUUGAAUCAUUGGCGGCUGAAGUGAUAAGUUUCAAACAGGAGAUCAAAGGGUUCAAGCAUGAGAAUAAACAGUUGCACAUGCUCGCACAUGACUAUGCUACAAACAUGAAGAGGAAACUCGACCAGUUGCAGGAAUCUGAUGGUCAGAUUUUACUUGAUCAUCAGAGGUUUGUGGGUUUGUUCCAAAGGCAUUUAUUGCCUUCGUCUUCUGGGGUUGUACCGCGUAAUGAAGCUCCAAAUGAUCAACCUUCUUCUGGGGUUCUGCCUAGUACUGAGGCUCCGAAUAAUCAUCCUCUGGUGCCUCCUAUUUCUAGGGCUCUGCCGACUGCUGAGACUUCUCUCGAGCAACCUUUGUGAAGGCUCCCUCUUGUUUGUUUAUUUUGAUUCAUGUAUAUGUACAUAUUUGUAACUUAUCGGAGAUAUCAAUAAACAAGCUUUGCUUCAUUCAACGUAUUGUGUUAAAUACACCAAGGCCUUCUUCACUAAGUUCGUUGAAUUUUUUCCUUUUGUUGAAGCUUGUAUGUUAAAGCUUUGUGAGUGAAGCAUGUAGGUUGAGGUAGUGCUCCCUUAAUUUCCCGAGUGAGGAAAACUUCUCGUUUGGAGACUUGAAAAAUUCAAGUCACUGAGUGGUCGUGAGACUUCCGAAUAUCAAGGUGCAGUAGCAUAUGGUAGGAGUCCCCCAAGUCUCUGGUCGAGGGAGUUGAUGAAUGAGGCACUUCCUUUCUAAGUGGUAGCCCAAAACUCCUUCUUCAUAUAUAUUUGUUAUGAAAGUUGUUAAGCCUAAUGAAGAGGAGGCCUAGGCAAUUUUUUUUUUUUGCGAAAUUAUUUUUUUUCGAUUUUUUUUUCUUUCGAAUUUUCGUAUUUUUUGAAUUUUUGAAUUUUCGAAUUUUUGAAUUUUUGAAUUUUUGAAUUUUCGAAAAUAUAUAUUAAAGCUUUGUAGGUGAAGUUUUGGUGUUGAAGCUUUGUAUGUGAAGCUUUGAGGUUGAAGCUUUGUUGGGCACCAUGAAUUGAUUUUGCUUCACACUAUCUUGAUCAAGAUAGUGUGAAGCUUUUGUAGGUGAAGGUUUUGUGGGUCAAGCUUUUGUAGGUCAAGCUUUUGUGGGUGAAGCUUUUGUGGGUCAAGUUUUUGUGGGUGAAGCUUUUGUGGGUGAAGCUUUUGUGUUGAAGCUUUUGUGGGUGAAGCUUUUGUGUUGAAGCUUUUGUGGGUGAAGCUUUUGUGUUGAAGCUUUUGUAGGUGAAGCUUUGGAGUUGAAGCUUUGUAGGUGAAGCUUUUGUGGGUCAAGCUUUUGUGGGUCAAGCUUUUGUAGGUCAAGCUUUUGCGGGUCAAGCUUUUGUGGGUGAAGCUUUUGUGUUGAAGCUUUUGAAGGUGAAGCUUUGGAGUUGAAGCUUUGUAGGUGAAGCUUUGAGGUUGAAGCUUUGUUGGGCACCAUGAACUGAUUUUGCUUCACACUAUCUUGAUCAAGAUAGUGUGAAGCUUUAGUAGGUGAAGCUUUUGUGAGUCAAGCUUUGGAGUUGAAGCUUUUAUUGGGUACCAUUAAUUGAUUUUGUUUCACACUAUCUUGAUCAAGAUAGUGUGAAGCUUUUGAGAAUUUGUAGUUGUCUUCUAUUGAUGAAGCUUUUGUUGGUGAAGCUUUGGAGUUGAAGCUUUUUUUUGGUGAAGCUUUUGUUGGGUACCAUGAAUUGAUUUUGCUUCACACUAUCUUGAUCAAGAUAGUGUGAAGCUUUUGAGAAUUUGUAGUUGUCCUCCAUUGAUGAAGCUUUGGAGUUGAAGCUUUUGUUGAAUUUCCUUUUUUUUUUUUUUUUUUUUUGGAAACUAGAAAUUUGAAAAUGUGGGAGAGACAACAUAUACAAAUUUUGAUUCCACACUGUUGAGCAAGAGAUUGUGAUGCAAGCCACACCUUGUAGUAGUUGAAGGUUUGGAUGAACCAUAUAAAUUGAAUUUGCUUCGAACAGUCUUGAAUUUGCUUCGAAGGUUUGAGAAUUGUAGUUGCCCUCCAUUGAUGAAACUUUUGUUGGCACCAUAAAUUGGUUUUUCUUCACACUGUCUUGAUCAAGAGUUUAUGAAGCUUUUGAGAAUUAUGGUUGAACUCCUUUGAUGAAGCUUUUGUUGGCACCAUAAAUUGGUUUUGCUUCACACUAUAUUGAUCAAGAGUGUGUGAAGCUUGUGAGAAUUGUGGUUACCCUCCAUUGAUGAAGCUCUUGUUGGCACCAUAAAUUGGUUUUGCUUCACAUUGUCUUGAUCAAGAGUGUGAAGCUUUUGAGAAUUAUGGUUACCCUCCUUUGAUGAAGCUCUUGUUGGCACCAUGAAUUGGUUUUGCUUCACACUGUCUUGAUCAAGAGUGUGUGAAGCUUUUGAGAAUUGUGGUUGCCCUCCAUUGAUGAAGCUUUUGUUGGCACCAUAAAUUGAUUUUGCUUCACACUGUCUUAAUCAAGAGUGUGUGAAGCUUUUGAGAAUUGUGGUUGCCCUCAAUUGAUGAAACUUUUGUUGGCACCAUAAAUUGAUUUUGCUUCACACUGUCUUGAUAAAGAGUGUGUGAAGCUUUUGAGAAUUGUGGUUGCCCUCCUUUGAUGAAGCUCUUGUUGGCGCCAUAAAUUGGUUUUGCUUCACACUGUCUUGAUCAAGAGUGUGAAGCUUUUGAGAAUUAUGGUUACCCUCAUUUGAUGAAGCUCUUGUUGGCACCAUAAAUUGGUUUUGCUUCACACUGUCUUGAUCAAGAGUGUGUGAAGCUUUUGAGAAUUGUGGUUGCCCUCCAUUGAUGAAGCUUUUGUUGGCACCAUAAAUUGAUUUUGCUUCACACUGUCUUAAUCAAGAGUGUGUGAAGCUUUUGAGAAUUGUGGUUGCCCUCCAUUGAUGAAACUUUUGUUGGCACCAUAAAUUGAUUUUGCUUCACACUGUCUUGAUAAAGAGUGUGUGAAGCUUUUGAGAAUUGUGGUUGCCCUCCUUUGAUGAAGCUCUUGUUGGCGCCAUAAAUUGGUUUUGCUUUACACUGUCUUGAUCAAGAGUGUGUGAAGCUUUUGAGAAUUGUGGUUGCCCUCCAUUGAUGAAGCUCUUGUUGACACCAUAAAUUUAUUUUGCUUCACACUAUCUUCAUCAAGAGUGUGUGAAGCUUUCUACGAGUUGUAGUGUUUGCAUUGUUAUAGUAUGGAAAUGUUUGAAGCAGAUGCAAGAGGGCUGAAUAGCUUGAUCUUCGUAUGCCAUACACUGAAGUUGUUGUUGGUCUGCAAUAAGGCUUUGUUGGUGACUAUAACUCUUGUUGGGCAUAAGUGCUCCCCUAGUUGAGUUGUCAAGCUUGAGGGUUUUUGAUUAUUUGUGAAUGCUAGGAGUUCACAUGUACAAGUUGUACCACUCGUCUUCUGGUAGGUGGAAUGAAUGGUGAGUUGCUUUCAUCACUUGGUUGGUGGUACAAAGGUGAGUUCCUUCAUCACUUUUCAUCACAUUUCAUCACCUGGUUGGUGGCACGAGGAUGAGUUCCUUCUUCCCCUGGUUGGUGGCAUGAAUGGCAAGUUGCCAAAUGAUAUUAGAGUACGGGUUGUACAUUUCAUCACCUGGUUGGUGGCAUGAAGGAGAGUACGGGUUGUACAUUUCAUCACCUGGUUAGUGGCAUGAAGAUGAGUUCUUUCUCCACCUGGUUGGUGGCAUGAGUGGCAAGUUGCCAAAUGAUAUUAGAGUACGGGUUGUACAUUUCAUCACCUGGUUGGUGGCAUGAAGAUGAGUUACUUCUUCACCUGGUUGGUGGCAUGAGUGGCAAGUUGCCAAAUGAUAUUAGAGUAUGGGUUUUACAUUUCAUCACCUAAUUGGUGGCAUGAAGGAGAGUACGGGUUGUACAUUUCAUCACCUGGUUGGUGGCAUGAAUGGCAAGUUGCCAAAUAAUAUUAGAGUAUGGGCUGUACAUUUCAUCACCUGGUUGGUGGCAUGAAGAUAAGUUCCUUCUUCACCUUUCAUCACCUGGUUGGUGAGAAUAAGGGCAAGGUGUCUAGGCACAUUGUAGCCAGUGUCGAAUGACACAAAGUAUGUUGAACCAUUUCAAAGAACAGUUGGCUUAUGUACGAAUGUGUUGGAAUGUAUGAUUGAACGAAUAUACUGUGAAGCUGUUCGUUUAUUUGUAUAGUCUUGUUAACAUAUACUUAUAAUUUGUUUCAUGUUGGAAGCAUUCAUGUUGAAGCUUUGAACCCAAGUGUUUCAUUGCUAUGAAUGAAAGAGGAUUAGGACCGAGUUGUCUAAAUCACCUAUUUAUUGAAUUCAUGCCAAAUAGUCUUCGUUACAUAGGAUGCCGAACAGCUGAAGCUUAACACUUGUACAAUGUGAGUUUACUUGUAAUAGUACUUUAAGUGAUCAGCGUUCCAUGGAUGGCCAAAGGUCUUGCCAUCGAAGCUUCUAAGCUUGUAGGAGCCAAGGCGACUGAUGCCAACAACUUCAAACGGUCCAUCCCAGUUUUGACUAAGUGUUCCUUCACUCGAGACUCAGUCGCAGAGUAAUCUUUUCUUCAAUACCUAAUCCUCCACUUUGAAAGAACGAGGUUUGACCCUGGAGUCAUAAUAGUUGGAGAUGCGCUGCUUGUAGGCGACAUUCCUUAAGUGAGCCUGGUUUCUGUGUUCCUCGACUAGAUCUAAGUUGAGGUUAAGUUGUUUGUCAUUUUCGCUUUACACGUAGUUUUGGACUCGGAAUGUUGCUUGCUCAAGCUCAACUAGGACAACUGCCUCUGUACCAAAGGCAAGUGAGAAUGGGGUUUCUCCUAUUGAUGUCUGAUACGAAGUGCGAUAUGACAAAAAAACUUGGGGUACAAAUUCUAGCCAACAACCUUUAGCCUUGUCCAAGCUGGUUUUCAAAGUUCGCUUGAUUAUUUUGUUGAUGGCUUCAACUUGUCCAUUAGACUAGGGAUGAGCUGGGGAGGCAAAAUAUAAGUUGAUGUUGAACUUAGAGCAGAACAUCAUGAACUUAUUGUUGUCGAACUGUCGCUCGUUGUCAGUGACUAUCGCAUUGGGAAUGCCGAAUCUGUAAAGGAUGUUCUUCCAUACGAAGUUUUCUAUUUUUGCCUCAGUAAUGGUUGCAAAGGGUUCUACUUUAGCCCACUUUGUGAAAUAGUCAACUGUAACGAUUGCAUAGUGAACCUUGCCCUUCCCUGCAGGCAUUCGGCCAAUCAAAUCAAGUCCCCAUUGGGCGAAGGGCCAAGGGCUGAUCAUAGGAGUGAGUGGCUCGAGAGGGGAGUGAAGAAUAGUUGCGUAGCGUUGACACUUAUCACAUGAGCUGGAUAUUCUGAUGGCAUCUUGGUGGAGUGUUGGCCAGUAUAUCCUUGGUGAAAAGCCUUGUGUGCUAGGGAUCGAGAUCCAGCAUGAUCUCCGCAGACUCCUUCAUGUAUUUCCCGAAUGACAGUUCCGCCUCUGCGGGAGUAAGGCAUCUUAGGUAUGGUAGGUUAAAACCCUGCUUGUAGAGUUGGUCAUUAAUGAUCAAGUAACGGGUAGCCUUGUAUCGAAUCUGCUUAGCUUGGACUUUGUCAUUUGGAAGGUGCCAUGAGGAAUCUAUAAAUCGGGGUAAUCCAACUAUCCCCCUGUUGUAAGUUGCACACUUCCGCAGCCAUAGUGCUUGGUGCUUCCAACAAUUCGACCUGAAUUUUUCUCCCAAUCUUGUCUUCCACCGCUGAGGCGAGGCGCGCCAAAGCAUCUGCAUGACUGUUUGCCGCUUGAGGAAUUUGGGUGAUCUGGUAGUGGAAGUGCUUAAGCAACAAUUGUGUUUGUGCCAGAUAUGCAGCCAUGGAGCUAUCCUUAGCAUUAAAGUUGUUGGUGACCUGGUUAACCACCAAUUGGGAGUCAUUGAAGAUAUGAAUUCGUUUAACCCCAAGGUGUUUGGCCAAACAUAAGCCUGCUAUGAGGGCUUCAUAUUCGGCCUCAUUCUUCGACGCCUUGAAUUUGAAACGAAAAGCAUACUCUAUCGCCACUUUGUUAGGGGUCGUAAGGACUAGUCCUACUCCACAACCUUGUUGGUUGGACGAGCCAUCAACAUAUAGACUCCAUGCUGGGGCUGUUGGUUCUAUUUUCUGAGCUUCCGAAGGUAAUGAAACCACUUCUUUAGGUGUAGAAACAAUGCCAACAGGAUAUGUGAAGUCGGCGAUGAAGUCUGCCAUGCUUGGCCCUUCUCAGCUGGCUUUAGUUGGUAGGAGAUGUCAAACUCACCCAAUGUUACCGCCCAUUUGAUCAUUCGCCCAGAAGUGUCAGGACUUCGGAGUAUCUGUCGAAGAGGAUAGUUGGUAAGCACGAUGAUGGAGUGUGCUUGGAAGUAAAGGCGAAGUUUUUGAGCAGACAUGACCAAUGCUAGAGCCAAUUUUUCAAUGUUGGAGUAUCGUGUCUCCGCAUCUUGUAAGGUCUUGCUAGCGUAGUAGACAGGCCGUUCGACAUUACCAUCCCUUCGAAUGAGAACGGAACUUACUGCUGAAGCCGAUACCGACAAAUAGAUAAUGAGAGUGUCACCAACCUCAGGUUUGGAGAGCAAAUGGGCUUUACUCAUAUAGUCUUUGAGGUUCUUAAAUGCCUCAGCACAUUCAUCAGUCCAUGUAAUGUACUUCUUACUUCCCUUAAGUGCUUUGAAGAAAGGAGCACAUCUGUCUGUGGCCUUAGAGAUGAACCUAGUUCAGGCUGCCACCUUGCCAGUAAGGCUCUGGAUAUUUUUUGAAGUUACCAGUUCUUUCAUGUUGAGGAUUGCUUUGAUCUUCUCGGGAUUAGCCUCAAUGCCUCGUUGGCUUAUCAUGAAGCCUAAGAAUUUGCUAGAGCCUACGCCGAAGGCACAUUUUGUUGAGGUUUAACCUCAUUCGAUACCUCUUCAGAAUGGUGAUAGGUUGGUGAUGUGUGGUCAGCAUGUUUGCUCUUGACUAGUCUAUCAUCAACGUAAACUUCCAUGUUCUUCCCAAUCUGUUCGGCGAACAUUGAAUUGACCAGUCUCUGAUAAGUUGCUCCUGCAUUCUUUAGGCCGAAGGGCAUGACUUUAUAGCAAUAUAGUCCCCUGUCAGUAGUGAAGGCUGUGUGCUCUUGGUCCAGAGGGUUCAUGAGGAUUUGGUUUUAUCUUGAGUAAGCAUCCAUGAAGCUCAGAAGUUCACACCCUGCCGUAGAGUCUAUAAGUCUGUCUAUGAGAGGAAGAGGAAAGUUAUCCUUCGGGCAUCCUUUGUUUAGGUCGGUGUAAUCGACACACAUUCUCCAUAAGACCUUUUGGAGCAAGAGACUUUCCUUGGUUGGAUUCUUCUUAACAAGGACAACAUUUGCUACCCACGUUGGAUAAUUGACUUCGCGGACGAAGCCUAUGCUUUUGAGUUUUUCAACUUCUACUUUCAUUGCCUCGUACCGUUCAGCGUCAUAAGAUCUUCGCUUCUGUUUCACUGGCUUGGUCUUAGGGUCAAUACUUAAGCGAUGACAGAUGAUAUCGGGAGAGAUGCCUGGCAUGUCCUCGUAUGACCAGGCGAAGACCUCAGUGUUCUCUUGCAAAAAAGAGAUCAAUGUCAACCGAAUGGGUGGUGACAAGGUGGUGCCAAUCUUCACCAUGCUAUCCAGAUAAUCUUUUGAGAUAGAGACCUUCUCCAACUCUUCAGCAGGUUGUGCUUGCUGGGUGAAAGAGUCAUCUCAAGGAUCGUCGGGUUAACUGUUGCCACCGUGAAGAUCCAAGUUGGCUUCGUCUGGGCUGGUCUUUAUGACUUGGUCAUGUAUAGAAAGGGUUUCCUUGGGCACAGGCAGGUGUUGUUGCUUAACCGAAUUGUUGUAACAUGAUCGUGCAUGAUGCAAAAUAUAUAAGCACACAAAUUAAACCCUCUUUUUGUCAAUUGUAGUAAAGUAUGUAAGUAGGGAUCGUUCUAGGUCGGGGAUUAGGAGGGAUUGCUAAAUCACUUGGAAACUGACUUGAAAACGUAAAAACAAAGUUUAAAACACUAAACUAGACUCAAAGAAUGCAAAACUAUACUUUAAAAUACUAAGAUAAACAAAAAGAUUCAAAACAGCAAAUAAACACUCAAAACUGCCUUAAAAACACUUUCUGGGCAGUUUUGAACACCUAACACUAAAUUGGACGAAAUUGGGUUAUGACUUGACUCAAGACACUUAAAAACACAAACUAAAGUGAAUGUAAGAAUAUCUUGCAUAUCUAUCAAUGUUUCAAAAAUAAACCCACACCCAAAAAUAAUUAAACAACAAAAAUAAAAAAUGACAAUCAUGGCAAAAUAGAAAUGCAGAAAAGGGAAGGUUUUUAGAAACGCAAAACUGAUUGUAGAGCGAUUCAUAGAUCUUCCUUUUUUGAAUACAUGGGUUGCCUCCCAAGAAGCGCUUUCUUUAACGUCUUGCAGCCGGACGAUACCUCCCGUCCCAUUCCCCUAGGUUCCAUGGAAGUGAUCUUCGAAUGGAAGGUGAUACUUGAAGUGAUCCGGCAAUGGUGUAAAUUCUAGUAUGGGUGCCUGAAUCAUCAAAAUCAGCAAGUUAGUGGAAAACGUAUGUAAAAUUGGAGAAUAUGACUUACUUGCUUUGUCCGACAAGAACUCAAUGACAAACACCAUAUUUUUGAAAGUUUCAGGGAUAUUAGACUUGGCCAGAUUGAAUGUGAUGGUUGGGACUUGUCCCAUGUCAUAAAAUUCAACUUCUUUAGGAAUGGUUGUCUCAAGCACAUCCUCUUUGAUGCAUUCUACAUCUUCUUCAGCCACUACUUUCUCUUGAAUCAUUCUUCUUGGUGUACAAGGUCCUUUGAAUAUUUCAACACAAUCUGGAACUUGAUUUGUUGCACCAAGAAUUGGAAUAUCAUUUUGCAUCUUUGGGAAGGCUUCCACGAUGUCUUUUUCACUUUCUUCUUUCAUGGGAAUUAAAAACCUACGAGGAAAAGGGACGUUCGGAGGAAUAACAUUAGAAUGAAAUGAAAUUGGGACGUCCUUACUUGUGGUGGGUGGUUUAGAGGGCUUAAGGGGCUGCGGCAAGGGUUGUUCUACCCUUUCCGUGUGUAUGUCUUCUUCCUCCUCCUCAAUCAGUAGCUCAUUAUCCACUUCUAGGCUAUGUUUGGAUGUUUUUAGGUUAGCUUCAAUCUCCAUAGCACUUCUCAAAGUGAUAGCAUCAUGGAUUUCAAAAUCUUCCUUCGAAUUUUCAAUAGUUAAGUUGGGGAGUUCACUCUGCUCUUGAAUUUGUGCCAUGAACUCCAUAAUCUGCCCAGGUUGCUUCUCCAAUUCACUCGCCUUCUUGGCUUGAUUUUGUAUCUCUUUGUUUUGAUUUUCUACUUUCUGGUUCAAAGAGGUGAGUAACUUAUUAAACAUAUCAUCAUCCAAAGAUGUACCUGAAUUGAAUUGGGCAGAUUGUUGUGGUGACUGUGAUGGUUGAUAUGGCCAGUGAUAGAACUCCUCCGAUGGUGGCAGAUAUUCUUCUUGUUGUGAGCCCUGCACCAUAGAGUUUAAUUCAUUAAGAAUUUGAUUGUAAUCUAUUGAUGAGUCUGAGUUUGAUUGGGCAUAUUGUAUAUGAGGUUGUGGUGGCUGCAUAGGUCCUGAAUAGAACUCCUCAUAUGGCUGCCAAUAUCCUUCAUGUUGAACUUGUUGAGCUUCCCACCACAUAGAGUUUGAAUGAUCACUCCAAUCUCUUUGUGGGCAUUGAUUGGCUUGAUAUCAUUGCCUAUAAGACGCACCAAAUGUAAGGACACUUUGCAUUGUGGUCCUUUCGGCAUACUGUGACAAUUGAGAAGUAAGAUUUGCCAAUUGAGUUUGAAUGCUAGCAAAAUCCAUGUCUUACUUCUCUAGUACCUAAAAUCAAAGAAAGAAAACUAAAUCAAAUAUCAAAAGUAAAACAAAAGACAUGAAAAAGAAACAACGGGGGAUUAGCAAAGUUGCUAAUCCCCGGCAACGGCGCCAAAAAUUUGAUGCGAAAUAUAUAAGCACACAAAUUAAACCCUCUUUUUGUCAAUUGUAGUAAAGUAUGUAAGUAGGGAUCGUUCUAGGUCGGGGACUAGGAGGGAUUGCUAAAUCACUUGGAAACUGACUUGAAAACGUAAAAACAAAGUUUAAAACACUAAACUAGACUCAAAGAAUGCAAAACUAUACUUUAAAAUACUAAGAAACAAAAAGAUUCAAAACAGCAAAUAAACACUCAAAACUGCCUUAAAAACACUUUCUGGGCAGUUUUGAACACCUAACACUAAAUUGGACGAAAUUGGGUUAUGACUUGACUCAAGACACUUAAAAAUACAAACUAAAGUGAUUACUAACUAAUCUAACACUUUGAAAUAAAUGGGAGAUUGGUUCUUGACGAAUUUGAAAACAAAACAAAUUGUAAAACAAAACAGAUUGUAAAUGAAUUUGAAUGAAACUUAUGGAUGGAAGGCUAGCUAGGAGGUUCUUCUCCACACAUGUCACACUUGCAUACAAAACGAUUUCCAGUUGCUUUUCGAUAAACUAUGAAUACUCAACGCCCCAAAUUAACCGUGAAUUGCACUAAUUAACCCUCAGUUUUUUCCACAAGUUAUUGGGUUGGAUGAUUGCAUACGACAACCCAAAACAUUCCCUACAAGUUCCCUACAUGAAUUGCAUAAUAGAGAUACAAGCAAGAAUCAUUAAGUUCUAUGAAAAACAUAAGCAUUGACGAGGCACUCGUUACUAUGAUUUGCAUGAAACUUAUGCCAAGAAUUUACUUAACGUGAUUGUGACUAGCAACCUUCACUACUUGUGAAUAUAAGUUCAUAACGAUUAGGUGAAACUCCCUUAUAUUCUAGCGUCAAAUUCAUGCAUGAAAAUUAAGCGUUCACUCUCAACCAACAUACACAAAUCAGUUUUUAUACGAACGGAUAAGUAAAUUGAAUUCACAACUUAUGAAUCACAACUGGAUGUAAUCAAAUCAUAUUGUAAGCAUGAACAUAGUUUCAAAUCACCCCCUAACUAAGAGGGGUUUAGUUCCUCAUGCUCGCAAUUACACAAAGAUAACUCAAAUUAAACAUUGAAAUCAAAGAUAGAAAACACCUAGAAACGCUCCAACACUCCCAAGGCUUGGGCAUAGGCACGGCACAAGAUGUUCCUUCUCCUUCCUUCCUUGCAAUAGUCACGGCAUAAGAGAGUUAGAACAGGUUUUGGGUGGUUUUUAUGGUGUAGAAUGGAUGGGGAAUGGUAUGGAAAGGUUUAGGGUUGAUGGGUGGUGUGGCUAGGGGUGGUGUUUGGCUGAAUUUUUAGAGAAUGGUGAUGGAGAGGUGCGGCUAAGGUAAGGGAUCAAAAUCUGUUUUCUUUGAUGAAUAUGAGAGGUGGUAUUUAUAGGUUUGAGAGAGGACCACUCCAUUUCCUUUGCAUGUGAGCUUGUGUGGGUGUGAGUUGUCAUGUUUCCCCUUUACAUUUACACACACAUGCUUCAUCAUUUCCACAAAAACACACCAUAAUUUCUGCCAUGCCGUGUGCUCCAUGUGCUUGAUGCUGCCAUGUUCUUUUCUUUCCAUGUGUUUGCUUUCUUUGCCAUGUGUUUGCUGCCAUGUUCUUUGCUUUUACCAUUACACUUGCACACACACAUGUUCUUUGCAUCAUUUCAACCCACAAACACACACAUGCUUCAUCAUUUCACCACAAACACACACCAUAAUUUCUGCCAUGCCGUGUGCUCCCAUGUGUGUGCUGCAACAUUCUUUUCUUUGCCAUGUGUUUGCUGCAACAAGGGGUUUAUUUAAAGGGAUAAAGGAAAUAAAACCCUAGGUUAACUAGGUAAACAGAAAUUAAGUCUAAAGCUUCUACAAUUUAGGGAAACAAAUCAGAAAUUUAAAGGGAAUAAGCUAAAAUGUGUGGCAAGGCUUUGUAGUAGAUUAGGAAAGUGUUUAAAUGCAAGAUUUAGGAAAGAAUGACUCUUCCUUGCACGGCAAGGAAGAGUAAUGGCAAGGGUGGAGCACACGGUUGGUUGCUUAUUUUUGAACACUUCGUUCUUUAUUUGUCUUGAAUCCAAUUCUUCACAUCAUCAUUCAAUCCUAUGCUCAUUUGAUCUUCAAUUUCGUCCGUCUUCUUACCUCCAAGCAUAUGCAAUCCAUUUGAUAAACAAAAACUGCUCCAAACGACUCCAAAAUGCACAUGUAUGCAUACUUUGUCCUUAAAACCUGAAAACAUAUAAAAGUGACUUUAAACACUAAAAUAACUAAAGAAACACAACGUAAACGCACGAGAACAAGACAAUUAAGUCGCAUAAAUAUGCUCCUAUCAGUGCACUAAGUUGAUCUCUUCUGAUGUAACCAUUGCCAUAGGGGGUUGGAAAUUUCAUCAACAACAUAUGUGUGGAUACCAUGGCCUUGAGAUCAUUGAUGUCUGUGCGUCCGAAGAUGACAUUGUAUGUCGUUGGACAAUCAACCACCAGGAAGUUAGUGGUAAUGGUAGCUGUGUAAGAGCCUAUACCAAUGGUGAAAGGUAAGUGUAUGCUCCCCAAAGGUUGCACGAUAUCACCGGAAAAGCUUAUCAGAGAGGAAAUCGAGCGAUCGAGCAAGUGUUCAGCUAUAUUAAGUGCCUUGAAAGCUUCAGCAAACAUGAUAUUGACCGAAGCCCCCGUGUCUACCAGGAUUCGUAGUACUUCAAAGUUUGCUAUGUAAGCUUCCACGAUCAGUGGGUCGUUGUGAGGGUAGAUGAUACUCUUCUUCCUCAGGUAGAAACAUAUUGGAUCCCGGUUAGGCUUUUGAUACUUACCUCCCUGAUGUCUUCCACGUGAAACACUUGGUGGCCAGACCUUAAAGCUCGUUCACUAUUUUUUAUGGCCCUGUUGGAAGAUUUAGAUAUGGGUGUGCCACCACUUAUGGAAUAUAUCACAUUCACCUGCAUUGGUUACGGUUACCCCUUGGAGGUGAACGAGGAAUUGAAUCAAUUUUUCCUUCAUGUGCCAAAGCUUCAAUAUGAUCACGAAGGGUGAUACACUUCUCGCCGUCAUGGCCAUUAUACUUGUGGUAGCAGCAAAAUGUGCCCGUGUUCUUCGUGGGCUUGUAAUCCGGGUGCCUCGGCUUUGGCUUCAGUAUCAAGUGUGAUAUGCUGGGGUAAAUGGCCACGCAUAUGGCGUUCAAGGGUAUGUAUGCCUCAUACCUCGGGGUAGGGGUUGUCCUGACACGUGCUUGACCCAUUGUGUUGACUGUCUGGGGUCGAGGAUUAUCAUGGCGAUACCCUUGGUUAUCGCGGUAGUGUCCCUUACUCCUUUUAUUAAAAUGAGACUGAUGAGGAUGGAAAUCUUUCCUUUUGCCCUGAAAUUGAUAUGUCUGUUGACUUGGCAAAGUAUUAAGUAAGGCAGGGGAGACAUUGCUGCCGUUAGAAGGUUGAGGUCUUCUCAUUUGUUGGAUCUGGCUUCCACUCCCACUUGCUGAUAAAUGGUGGUUGUGGGGGGUUUCCUUGAUAUGUCCUUGCCUCGGCGGAGGCCUGGUUGUAAGCCUGUACCAUCACCUUCAGAGUAAGUCUUCCAAGUGUUGGCAUUGAUCAUGUACUUGAAGAAACAGUCACAUAGGCCUGCCGUGAAGGCUUUGAGGGCAGUCUUGUCGUCUGCCUCGGCACAACGGGAAUUACUCAUGGCUGAAGCGGCCAACAUACAUUAAGUAAUUACUCGUCUGGCUUUCUGGCGAAUAGUGUACAAGUCAUCUGCAGAAUGCAAAGCGAUCGGUCUAGAAGAUGUGUUGAGAGACAAACAGUUUCCUCAGUUCCUCAAAUGAGUCUACUGUCGUAGGUCGAAGACGGCAAUACCAGUUUAGAGCUCCGCCAGAAAGGUGGAGGGGAAGAGAAGACAUCGCUCUUCAUCGGUGUGCAUCCGAUAUGCCAUGGUGGACUCAAAGAGGUUAAGGUGUUCGAGGAUCCUCCUUGUGAGAGGGCUAGGCCUGGUUGGUUCCAGUCAGGUAUCUCGGCCUGACGUUUCGGCCUUCAACUUGUUUACUUCCUCAAGGAGCUGUAGGACANAAAAAGAGAUCAAUUGUCAACCGAAGGGUGGUACAAGGUGGUGCCAAUCUUCACCAUGCUAUCCAGAUAAUCUUUUGAGAUAGAGACCUUCUCCAAACUCUUCAGCAGGUUGUGCUUGCUGGUGAAAGAGUCAUCUCAAGGAUCGUCGGGUUAACUGGUGCACCGUGAAGAUCCAAGUUGGCUUCGUCUGGGCGGUCUUUAGACUUGGUCAUGUAUAGAAAGGGUUUCCUGGGCACAGGCAGGUGUUUGUUGCUUAACCGAAUUGUUGUAACAUGAUCGUGCAUGAUGCAAAAUAUAUAAGCACACAAAUUAAACCCUCUUUUUGUCAAUUGUAGUAAAGUAUGUAAGUAGGGAUCGUUCUAGGUCGGGGAUUAGGAGGGAUUGCUAAAUCACUUGGAAACUGACUUUGAAAAACGUAAAAAACAAAGUUUAAAACACUUAAACUAGACUCAAAGAAUGCAAAACUAUACUUUUAAAAUACUAAGAUAAACAAAAAGAUUCAAAACAGCAAAUAAACACAAAACUGCCUUAAAAAACACUUUCUGGGCAGUUUUGAACACUAACACUAAAUGGACGAAAUUGGGUUAUGACUUGACUCAAGACACUUAAAAACACAAACUAAAGUGAAUGUAAGAAUAUCUUGCAUAUCUAUCAAUGUUUCAAAAAUAAACCCACACCCAAAAAUAAUUAAACAACAAAAAUAAAAAAUGACAAUCAUGGCAAAAUAGAAAUGCAGAAAAGGGAAGGUUUUUAGAAACGCAAAACUGAUUGUAGAGCGAUUCAUAGAUCUUCCUUUUUUGAAUACAUGGGUUGCCUCCCAAGAAGCGCUUUCUUUAACGUCUUGCAGCCGGACGAUACCUCCCGUCCCAUUCCCUAGGUUCAUGGAAGUGAUCUUCGAAUGGAAGGUGAUACUUGAAGUGAUCCGGCAAUGGUGUAAAUUCUAGUAUGGGUGCCUGAAUCAUCAAAAUCAGCAAGUUAGUGGAAAACGUAUGUAAAAUUGGAGAAUAUGACUUACUUGCUUUGUCCGACAAGAACCAAUGACAAACACCAUAUUUUGAAAGUUUCAGGGAUAUUAGACUUGGCCAGAUGAAUGUGAUGGUUGGACUUGUCCAUGUCAUAAAAAUUCAACUUCUUUAGGAAUGGUUGUUCUCAACACAUCCUCUUUGAUGCAUUCUACAUCUUCUUCAGCCACUACUUUCUCUUGAAUCAUUCUUCUUGGUGUACAAGGUCCUUUGAAUAUUUCAACACAAUCUGGAACUUGAUUUGUUGCACCAAGAAUUGGAAUAUCAUUUUGCAUCUUUGGGAAGGCUUCCACGAUUCUUUUUCCACUUUUCUUCUUUCAUGGGAAUUAAAAACCUACGAGGAAAAGGGACGUUUCGGAGGAAUAACAUUAGAAUGAAAUGAAAUUGGGACGUCCUUACUUGUGGUGGGUGGUUUAGAGGGCUUAAGGGCUGCGGCAAGGGUGUUCUCUACUCCUUUCCGUGUGUAUGUCUUCUUCCUCCUCCUCAAUCAGUAGCUCAUUAUCCACUUCUAGGCUAUGUUUGGAUGUUUUUAGGUUAGCUUCAAUCUCCAUAGCACUUCUCAAAGUGAUAGCAUCAUGGAUUUCAAAAUCUUCCUUCGAAUUUUCAAUAGUUAAGUUGGGGAGUUCACUCUGCUCUUGAAUUUGUGCCAUGAACUCCAUAAUCUGCCCAGGUUGCUUCUCCAAUUCACUCGCCUUCUUGGCUUGAUUUUGUAUCUCUUUGUUUUGAUUUUCUACUUUCUGGUUCAAAGAGGUGAGUAACUUAUUAAACAUAUCAUCAUCAAAGAUGUACCUGAAUUGAAUUGGGCAGAUUGUUGUGGUGACUGUGAUGGUUGAUAUGGCCAGUGAUAGAACUCCUCCGAUGGUGGCAGAUAUUCUUCUUGUUGUGAGCCCUGCACCAUAGAGUUUAAUUCAUUAAGAAUUUGAUUGUAAUCUAUUGAUGAGUCUGAGUUUGAUUUGGGCAUAUUGUAUAUGAGGUUGUGGUGGCUGCAUAGGUCCUGAAUAGAACUCCUCAUAUGGCUGCCAUAUCCUUCAUGUUGAACUUGUUGAGCUUCCCACCACAUAGAGUUUGAAUGAUCACUCCAAUCUCUUUGUGGGCAUUGAUUGGCUUGAUAUCAUUGCCUAUAAGACGCACCAAAUGUAAGGACACUUUGCAUUGUGGUCCUUUCGGCAUACUGUGACAAUUGAGAAGUAAGAUUUGCCAAUUGAGUUUUUGAAUGCUAGCAAAAUCCAUGUCUUACUUCUCUAGUACCUAAAAUCAAAGAAAGAAAAACUAAAUCAAAUAUCAAAAGUAAAACAAAAGACAUGAAAAAGAAACAACGGGGGAUUAGCAAAGUUGCUAAUCCCCGGCAACGGCGCCAAAAAUUUGAUGCGAAAUAUAUAAAGCACACAAAUUAAAACCCUCUUUUUUGUCAAUUGUAGUAAAGUAUGUAAGUAGGGAUCGUUCUAGGGGUCGGGACUAGGAGGGAUUGCUAAAUCACUUGGAAACUGACUUGAAAAACGUAAAAACAAAGUUUAAAACACUAAACUAGACUCAAAGAAUGCAAAACUAUACUUUAAAAUACUAAAGAUAAACAAAAAAGAUUCAAAACAGCAAAUAAACACUCAAAACUUGCCUUAAAAACACUUUCUGGGCAGUUUUGAACACCUAAACAAUAAAUUGGAACGAAAUUGGGGUUAUGACUUGACUCAAGACACUUAAAAAUACAAACUAAAGUGAUUACUAACUAAUCUAACACUUUGAAAUAAAUGGGAGAUUGGUUCUUGACGAAUUUGAAAACAAAACAAACUUGUAAAACAAAACAGAUUGUAAAUGAAUUUGAAUGAAACUUAUGGAUGGAAGGCUAGCUAGGAGGUUCUUCUCCACACAUGUCACACUUGCAUACAAAACGAUUUCCAGUUGCUUUUCGAUAAACUAUGAAUACUCAACGCCCCAAAUUAACCGUGAAUUGCACUAAUUAACCCUCAGUUUUUCCACAAGUUAUUUGGGUUGGAUGAUUGCAUAUACGACAACCCAAAACAUUCCCUACAAGUUCCCUACAUGAAUUGCAUAAUAGAGAUACAAGCAAGAAUCAUUAAGUUCUAUGAAAAACAUAAGCAUUGACGAGGCACUCGUUACUAUGAUUUGCAUGAAACUUAUGCCAAGAAUUUACUUAACGUGAUUGUGACUAGCAACCUUCACUACUUGUGAAUAUAAGUUCAUAACGAUUAGGUGAAACUCCCUUAUAUUCUAGCGUCAAAAUUCAUGCAAUGAAAAUUAAGCGUUCACUCUCAACCAACAUACACAAAUCAGUUUUUAUACGAACGGAUAAGUAAAUUGAAUUCACAACUUAUGAAUCACAACUGGAUGUAAUCAAAUCAUAUUGUAAGCAUGAACAUAGUUUCAAAUCACCCCUAACUAAGAGGGGUUUAGUUCCUCAUGCUUCGCAAUUACACAAAGAUAACUCAAAUUAAACAUUGAAAUCAAAGAUAGAAAACACCUAGAAACGCUCCAACACUCCCAAGGCUUGGGCAUAGGCACGGCACAAGAUGUUCCUUCUCCUUCCUUCCUUGCAAUAGUCACGGCAUAAGAGAGUUAGAACAGGUUUUGGGUGGUUUUUAUGGUGUAGAAUGGAUGGGGAAUGGUAUGGAAAGGUUUAGGGUUGAUGGGUGGUGUGGCUAGGGGUGGUGUUUGGCUGAAUUUUUAGAGAAUGGUGAUGGAGAGGUGCGGCUAAGGUAAGGGAUCAAAAUCUGUUUUCUUUGAUGAAUAUGAGAGGUGGUAUUUAUAGGUUUGAGAGAGGACCACUCCAUUUCCUUUGCAUGUGAGCUUGUGUGGGUGUGAGUUGUCAUGUUUCCCCUUUACAUUUACACACACAUGCUUCAUCAUUUCACCACAAAACACACCAUAAUUUCUGCCAUGCCGUGUGCUCCAUGUGCUUGAUGCUGCCAUGUUCUUUUCUUUCCAUGUGUUUGCUUUCUUUGCCAUGUGUUUGCUGCCAUGUUCUUUGCUUUACCAUUACACUUGCACACACACAUGUUCUUUGCAUCAUUUCAACCACAAAACACACACAUGCUUCAUCAUUUCACCACAAACACACACCAUAAUUUCUGCCAUGCCGUGUGCUCCCAUGUGUGUGUGCUGCAAACAUUUUUUUCUUUGCCAUGUGUUUGCUGCAAACAAGGGGUUUAUUUAAAGGGAUAAAGGAAUAAAACCCUAGGUUAACUAGGUAAACAGAAAUUAAGUCUAAAGCUUCUACAAUUUAGGGAAACAAAUCAGAAAUUUAAAGGGAAUAAGCUAAAAUGUGUGGCAAGGCUUUGUAGUAGAUUAGGAAAGUGUUUAAAUGCAAGAUUUAGGAAAGAAUGACUCUUCCCUUGCACGGCAAGGAAGAGUAAUGGCAAGGGUGGAGCACACGGUUGGUUGCUUAUUUUUGAACACUUCGUUCUUUAUUUGUCUUGAAUCCAAUUCUUCACAUCAUCAUUCAAUCCUAUGCUCAUUUGAUCUUCAAAUUUCGUUCGUCUUCUUACCUCCAAGCAUAUGCAAUCCAUUUGAUAAACAAAAACUGCUCAAACGACUCCAAAAUGCACAUGUAUGCAUACUUUGUCCUUAAAACCUGAAAAACAUAUAAAAGUGACUUUAAACACUUAAAAUAACUAAAGAAACACAACGUAAACGCACGAGAACAAGACAAUUAAGUCGCAUAAAUAUGCUCCUAUCAGUGCACUAAGUUGAUCUCUUCUGAUGUAACCAUUGCCAUAGGGGGUUGGAAAUUUCAUCAACAACAAAUAUGUGUGGAUACCAUGGCCUUGAAGAUCAUUGAUGUCUGUGCGUCCGAAGAUGACAUUGUAUGUCGUUGGACAAUCAACCACCAGGAAGUUAGUGGUAAUGGUAGCUGUGUAAGAGCCUAUACCAAUGGUGAAAGGUAAGUGUAUGCUCCCCAAAGGUUGCACGAUAUCACCGGAAAAGCUUAUCAGAGAGGAAAUCGAGCGAUCGAGCAAGUGUUCAGCUAUAUUAAGUGCCUUGAAAGCUUCAGCAAACAUGAUAUUGACCGAAGCCCCCGUGUCUACCAGGAUUCGUAGUACUUCAAAGUUUGCUAUGUAAGCUUCCACGAUCAGUGGGUCGUUGUGAGGGUAGAUGAUACCUCUUUCUUCCUCAGGGUAGAAACAUAUUGGAUCCCGGUUAGGCUUUUGAUACUUACCUCCCCUGAUGUCUUCCACGUGAAACACUUGGUGGCCAGACCUUAAAGCUCGUUCACUAUUUUUUAUGGCCCUGUUGGAAGAUUUAGAUAUGGGUGUGCCACCACUUAUGGAAUAUAUCACAUUCACCUGCAUUGGUUACGGUUACCCCUUGGAGGGUGAACGAGGAAUUGAUCAAUUUUUCCUUCAUGUGCCAAAGCUUCAAUAUGAUCACGAAGGGUGAUACACUUCUCGCCGUCAUGGCCAUUAUACUUGUGGUAGCAGCAAAAUGUGCCCGUGUUCUUCGUGGGCUUGUAAUCCGGGUGCCUCGGCUUUGGCUUCAGUAUCAAGUGUGAUAUGCUGGGGUAAAUGGCCACGCAUAUGGCGUUCAAGGGUAUGUAUGCCUCAUACCUCGGGGUAGGGGUUGUCCUGACACGUGCUUGACCCAUUGUGUUGACUGUCUGGGGUCGAGGAUUAUCAUGGCGAUACCCUUGGUUAUCGCGGUAGUGUCCCUUACUCCUUUUAUUAAAAUGAGACUGAUGAGGAUGGAAAUCUUUCCUUUUGCCCUGAAAUUGAUAUGUCUGUUGACUUGGCAAAGUAUUAAGUAAGGCAGGGGGAGACAUUGCUGCCGUUUAGAAGGUUGAGGUCUUCUCAUUUGGUUGGAUCUGGCUUCCACUCCCUACUUGCUGAUAAAUGGUGGUUGUGGGGGGUUUCCCUUGAUAUGUCCUUGCCUCGGCGGAGGCCUGGUUGUAAGCCUGUACCAUCACCUCAGAGUAAGUCUUCCAAGUGUUGGCAUUGAUCAUGUACUUGAAGAAACAGUCACAUAGGCCUGCCGUGAAGGCUUUGAGGGCAGUCUUGUCGUCUGCCUCGGCACAACGGGAAUACUCAUGGCUGAAGCGGCCAACAUACAUAAGUAAUUACUCGUCUGGCUUCUGGCGAAUAGUGUACAAGUCAUCUGCAGAAUGCAAGCGAUCGGUCUAGAAGAUGUGUUGAGAGACAAACAGUUUCCUCAGUUCCUCAAAUGAGUCUACUGUCGUAGGUCGAAGACGGCAAUACCAGUUUAGAGCUCCGCCAGAAAAGGUGGAGGGGAAGAGAAGACAUCGCUCUUCAUCGGUGUGCAUCCGAUAUGCCAUGGUGGACUCAAAGAGGUUAAGGUGUUCGAGGAUCCUCCUUGUGAGAGGGCUAGGCCUGGGUUGGUUCCAGUCAGGUAUCUCGGCCUGACGUUCGGCCUUCAACUUGUUUACUUCCUCAAGGAGCUGUAGGACAAGGGGGUCCUGAGUGGAGUCAUGUACCACUGGGAUUUUCUUUCGUAAGUCUCCAUCGCCUCUUGGAAGUAGGAAAGUUUGAGCAAGGGCGUGUGAUUUUUCCUUGGAAUCGCCGUACUGACUUCUAGGUCGAGUUUGUCGGAAUACCUAAAAGUCUCAUGUACCUUCACGUUUCUCUGAAACCUGUCGUUCCUUCUCUAGAUUAGCAGCUGGCCUGGGUCGUGAGAGGGGACCGAGUCUUUCAGAAACCCUUGGGUCAUUGAUCUUCGAGCAUAUGUGGAGGGGAUUCUCUCGACGUUGCUUUAGGAAGUCUCGGCAGUCACGAUAAUUGGCUUUCGAUCCUUCCAACCCUUCUACAAGGAAGUGUCUUCCUCCAUUUCUCCUGCUUCGGGUCGAAGCAGCUGGGUUGAGAAAAGUCUCAUGUUGAUCAAUGUUUUGAUGAUUAGCUCGCUCAUCAUCAGGGAUACCCAUGUUGAAGGAAGGUGACCUUCCAUGUUGGGGGGCACCCAGGUGAUGAUUGAUGUCCACAGGGGUAACGAGCUCGCAUGUUUAAGUACGCCUAGCUUCGUGGAGCGUCUCAAAGAGAGGACCUCAUUCUUCAUUGCUAUCUUGUUGUUCUGAGCUUCUAGCUCAUCGACUUUAGCUUGAAGAGCAACCCUCUUUCGUUGCUUCGCACUAGGUGCAAGAGGGGUCUCAUUCUGUGUGCUGUGGCUUCCUUCGCUCCCCAUGUCGGAGAGGGAUGCCUGGUCAAAAGAAAGUGUAUGAAUGGUGGAAACUAGCUUGACAAAGUUGAAGAGAAUGGGAAUAAGUGUCGUUUCCCACAGACGGUGCCAAAUGUUGAUGCACAAAAUCAGUGAGGACUUUGGUACAACAGAAAGUGUUAAGUUUGUGACCUUUGCUAGAUUGCUCCGGUCACUAGUGUGGAUAAGUAUGUAAAUGGAUAGAGACAGGGAAGCAAACACAAGAUGUAUGUGGUUCAUCCAGAUUGGCUACGUCCACAGAGUAGAGAAGUUCUCAUUAAUUAUGAAGGGUUUACAUAAGUACAUAGGUUCAAGCUCUCCUUUAGUGAGUACAAGUAAAUGAUUUAGUACAAAUGACAUUAGGAAAUAUUGUGAGAGAAUGAUCUCUAUUUAUAGAAGAGAGUUUCUAGUUUCAUUCUGACAUUGACACGUGUCGUGUUGUGAUUGGCUUCUGAUGUUGACACGUGUCGCGCUAUGAUUGGCUUCUGAUAUCGACACGUGUCGCGCUAUGAUUGGCUUCCUGGUUGGAGGGAAACUCUUCUGGGUCCUUGACGGUAUAACGUUGACCGGUGCUCAGUAGUUUCGGGAUUGGUUAAGUAUGGUACAAACAUAACUAUUAGCAACCAUAGAGAUAUGUUGGAGCUUAUUAAGAAGCUCUUGUUCUGACAAACCAUCUAUAUUCCAUUCAUAGAGUUUAUCAGAAGAGACUGAGAAUUGAUUUUGAAUAUUCCUUUCUUCAAAUUGAAUAUUAGGAGGAGUUGGUCUGGGAUACCAGUUUUUUAUGAGAGAUGUUGGAUUGACUUGUCUGUUAUUAAUUCUUUUAAGUUCAGGAUUUUGAAAAGCUUGUUCAACUUUUCAAAGAGAAUCCGAACCAGUUUCUAAUUCAGAAGAUGUAAGAGAUAAUUCUGAUCGAGAAUUAUCAGGAUGGUUUAUGGUUUGGACAGUUUUUUCUCUCUUUAAUUCAAGUAAUAAUUGAUCAAUUUUCUGACUUGUGAAAGUCGAGAAUGAUUUCAAAGCUACUGCCUUUGAAAAAGAUUCUGGGAAAUUAACCAAGGGCUUUUCCCUGAUUGUGGAAUUUGUUUGAGAAAUCUUAUCAAUUUUAGUUUCAAUUUUAUCUAAUUGUUUUUCAAUUGUAUGGAGACUUUGAUUAGUAAAAUUGUUUUGUUCAAUGAUAGGUUUGGUUCCUGCAUCUUCUUUCGGGAUUUUAAAAGGAGUUGCUGGAAUCUGCUUAUUAGCAAUUGUGAUUAGAAUAGUUUCUUGUGGAGGAUGACUAGAAGAGACAAUAGUCUUGUCUUCUCUAAGAAAAAUACUUCAAAUAUGUGUGUUUCCAUGAAUUCAUUCCAAUUUUUAUAUAUUUCUAAUUUUUCUUCUUGGGUAUAUUUAAUUUGAAAAAUAUUCCUUCGUGGAAUAUUCUCUUCGGCUACAAUAUCAGCAUUGAGCUUUUUGCUAUUCUUUUUAAAUGGUUUGUUUAGGACUAAAAUUGAUGAUGAACAUGACUUGCUUCAAAGUCAGAUUUAGUAGGAGAAGUUUGUCCUCCUCGAUUUUGGGUUUGGGGUUGGUAAACCGGAUGAGUAACCUGAGAGGUUGUUUCUACUGAUUUUAGCUUGAUAUUAAUCAAAUCAUUGAUUAAUUCUUGUUGGGUGACUGAAGAACUAGUGUCUACUGACUUUAAUUUCCCAUCCGCUAAUGAAUUGAUUAGUUCUUGAUCUUGACCCAUCCUAUCGGUUGGUAUGGAUCCAGAAAAAGAAUUUUUGGUAGGAGCAAAUGAUUUAUGUGAGUGAACUGACUCACAUGACCUUCUGGCUGGAAGAUCAAAUUGAUUUUGACAGUUCCGUCAAAGUAUUGUUCUAUGUUGUCUAAAUUAACUAGACUGUUUUGGAUAGCUACUGGCUUACUUUCAUUAAUCAAACACCAAUUUGAAAGGAGACUGAUAUCUGACCACCUAAUGGUUUUUGGAACUUUAAUGUUUGCAUUUUCUUGAUUGGUUUGGAUUAAAAGUGUAUGAUUUCUCGGACUUUUAGUUAAAGCCUAAAAGUUCAUGUUUAUGCCAGUGACUUUGUAAUAGACUCGAUAAAUUAAUGCCAAGGGCUGUGUUCCUUCAAGGACCUGAUAUCCUGAAGUUUUGAUGUUUAAAGUGAGUGCUUUCAGCAUGUACGGGUCUGAAAGACUUAUGUUGAGAUCUGGAAAGCAAUCAAAAUGGAUAGGUCCAUUAUAUAAGCUUGACUCAAUCAUACCAAGCAUGCUAUCACUAAAGUUAGUGAAUCUAGCAUCUCGGAGACAUAACAAAAUAGAGGUAUUAAGGCCUCUUCAUGUUAAUGGUUUUACGGCUAUUUGAACUAAGCCUAUGUGAAUAUAGUUAUGACCAUAUUUCCUAUAGGAUUUAAUUUGUUCUAGAGAAAACAACUGACAGGUCUCAUAUUCUUUACUAAGAGCAUAAGCCUUUUCAACUGUCUUAAUGUGAUGUUCACUACUAAAUGAGGCUACUGACCAUUUCUUUUGUAAAUAUUUUUACUUGAAACCUUGGGGAUAUUUCAAUCUCCAAAGUCAACACUUUCAUCAGUUUGAAAAUCAAGUUUUUGUUCUUCAUUGACAAUAUCAGGUAUAACGCCUAAACUGGACCUAGAGCUAGUGCUGGCCAUUGAAUUAGAUCUAAAUAAUCUACUCAUAGAGUUCAUAAAUCAAACAAUCAAAAUACAGAAAACUUACAUUGAUUCACCUUCCUCGUGUGUAGGCUAAACCCCUUCCCCGCUCAAGCGAUCCGCUUAUGCCUCUCAUGGGUCUUAUUGUUUGGAACACGCCUUACUGUUUGGUUGGGGAGUUGAUCAAACGACUAUGAGGACCUACAUAUAAGUUAGAUUGUAGAUAAGAGUCUGAAAAAUGAAUUCUAAUUUGCAGAUUACAAAGAUGCUAAUACAAUUACCACUUACUAGGCUCUGAUACCAAACAAUAUGCGGAAGUCAAAAUGACAAUAGAUAACAAGAUAUAACCAUAAUUGGUGAUUAUCAACUUUACCUUAACGUUGAAAUGCUCAAUGGGAAUUGAUACUAUAGUUGUAACUGAAGCCAAGAUGAUUCUGAUCAAAAGAAUAAUAAUAAAGAUAAAUGAACCAAUGGUUUUUAUAAUUAAAUUCUUUUCAUAAUUAAUUUCAAUGAAAAUAUUAUCCAUAAUGAAUUUUAUGAAUUUAAAUUAAUGAUGCACUUAGAUGUUUGAAAAUAAUUUUAUUUCAAAUCGGAAGCCGACUUACAGUUUCGUCUACUGACGAUUAAUGAGAAAAACAGUGAUGCUCGCAGGCAUCCUUGAUUUAAAAUUACAAGUGUUCGAUAUUUUUGGUGAUGGAGCUGAACUAUGACUUAUGUUCUUAGAAUUCGCAGAGAGUCUCAGCUGUUUGACUAGAGUCCCCUUCCUCCGUGAAAGAGCUCUUCUUUUGUAGGAAGAGGUGAGAUGAUUGAGAUCCGGGAAUCCCGCUGCUGAAUGACUUAUGCAUGUGCCAAAGGCUGUAAAGGUUGGUGAGUGAUGAUGUUUUUCCUGUGUAAGCACGUUGAUGUUGGCUAGAAUGAUGGAUGAAUAGUAAAAAGUGAUUUUUACUAUUCAUAAAUAGUGUUCUAUCAGAAUGUUUGCUGUUACUGCUGAUGCUGCAUUUACUGAGAAAAUCACAUGGCUUCUAUUGUGCGAUUUGCAUGGGUAAAAACUAAAAAUGAUUACCAAUCAUUACAUUUUGAAUUAAUACAAAUCAAAUGGGUCUUGGGCAUCUUAGUAAUCUACCCACUUGGCUGGUUGAGACGAAGCGUCUGAUGAGUCGGAACUGGAUUCUUCAUCACUGUCACUUUGCAGCAAAGCUGCUUUUGCUAUGAGCUUAUCUGCCAUUUUCAAAAGUUGUGAGGAUUUCCCUUUCUUCUUCAAACUUGAAGUUUUAGAGGACUUGGAUGACUUUGGUUGUUUUCCUUUUAAGGAUGAUGAAGGACUAAUGUCUUAUAAAGACUGGGAAUUUUCUGGGAUUUAUGGCAAUGCCUGUGUUGAUGUUAUUGGUGGAGACACCAUUGGAAUAGGUUCAGCUAGGAAUUCUAAUAAGACUAAGCUGAUUAUUUUUCUGUAGUCAAAUUUGCCCACCAUUUAACCCAUCGGGCUCUAUAAAUUUGAUCUGUUUCAUAUUCAUAGUUCCAUUUAAAAGUCCAAGGGACCUUAUAUUUUACCAUAAACAAUGAGAAAACAGUGAUUCUGUCGUCGAAACGGCUUCUGUCAAAAUGCUUCUGGAAACCAGAUGAAAGGAAUUGUAAGAGUUCUUCUGGUAGUAAGCUAGCUGUUGGACCGUGAGUUGACCACCAAUUUGGAAACCAAGCUGGGAAGUUUUACCUGAAACUCUUAUCAAAUGUAACGAACCAAGAAUGACUAAAGUCGGGUGAUUGGUGUAAGAAUAUAUUGGUCCAUGCUUGAAUGUAGUCAAAAUAACUAUAUUUGUUGUCUGGGAUGAGAUCAUGUUUGGUAUGAAGUUGUUUGGUAUGAUAGAGGGGGAUUCCUCAUUCUUGCUCAGUAAGAAAUCUUCCAAUAUGGAUUGAAUGAUAAAGGAUUUUAUUUUGAUGGGUAGUGCUGUAAAUGGGUUUGAUAGAAAUGCUUUUGGUCUCAUUGAGAAUUGCUUGAUAAAAUUGGAGAGUUUUGAAAGAUUCAUUUGGAAUAUGAUGGAAAUUUGGAGGUAAGAUUGAUUUGGCUAUUUUUUCUGGUACUUGUUUUUUGUUGAUAUGGUUAGGGAUAUAGAAGAGAUAUUCCAAAGGAUUUUUCUUGACAUAUGGGAAGGUUUUAGCAAAGCUAGGUGUUCUGGGGGUUAAGGGCGAUGGCAUUGAUGAAUAUGGGUCAUAAGGAUUGGCUAAGGCCGUUUAAUAGUUUGGUCGGAAUUGACCUACAGUUAAGGUAUAAAAUAUCGACAUUAUUGGCGAAAUAUCGCUGAUAAUAUCGUUUUUUUUGCAACAGCGAUAUUUUCACAUGCUUCCAAUAUCGAUAAUAUUGCGAUAUUAUCAAUAUUAUCAAUAAUAUCGCUCUCUCUCCGUCGUCGGAACGGCAGCCAAGCUUCAUCGUCGCAGCUGCCAAGAUCUAUGCCUCUAUUUGCCAAGAUCUGCGCCUCUUAUAGGUGGUGAUGGUGCUCGCCGGAGUGUGCGCCACUAUGGUGGAGGUCACGGUGGGGUGGGUGUGGUGUGUCUUCCUUCCGCUCGCUCGCUCCCUGUCUGUUCUUUCUGCGGUGGUGAACGAAUGACUUCUGCUGCUGUGCAGUGCAGCAGAUCAAACUAAUUUGAGCUUCACACUAACACGGAGAGAGAGAUCCGAGACUUACCUAUCCGGAAAAUCAAAGAAGACUCGCCGGAGAGUUUAUGGGCUCCGCCAUUCUCGCAGAGGCGGGAGAGAGAAGACUGAUGAUGUGUGAUGAUGGUGGUGUCCUCGAGCUGCUCAAGUCGAGCAGAUGGUGCUGCUACGCGUGUGUGUGGUCACGGCAAGAGAGGGAGAGAGGUAAGAGGGUUUUGAGAGAGAGAGACAAUGCAGAGAAGAGAAAGAGAGAGAGAAAGUCGAAGUGAGUGAGAGAAGGAAAUGGGGUCUCGGGGUUGGGGAGAGAGAGAGAAACGUGAAGAGUGUUGGGGGUUGCCACGUGGCAGCCUAAGAUGGUUUCGAAAUCCAGACAUUGAGUUCAAAUUUAAUUAGUAUAAAGGACUAAUUUGAUAGUUCCAAAUACACUCACAAUGUUUGCCAGCUCGUUAUAUAAUCAACUUAAAUCAGUUAAAUCCAUCAUGAAAUGCAUUUCCUUCCAAUUUUUUGUGAUAAACUAAUAAAUAAUUGACUAAAUAAACAUCCUGCAAAGUUUCAAUAAAAAUUUCCGAGUUUUUCUUACAAUUUCCGUGGUUUUUAUUCUAUUUUUAUCGAUAUCGAUAAAAUCCCAAUAUUUCCAUCGAUAUUUCCGUGUUCUUAGACUACCGAUAUUUCCGAUAUCAUCGAUAUUUUAUACCUUGCCUACAGUUGAACCUAAGGGAGUAAAUCUGUUGGUGACGGCUAAGGCCGAUGAUGAAGAAUCGGGAAUAGAUUCCUUUUUUACUGGUGGUGGAGGUGGAAGAGUGGCUGGAAACCUUCUCUAACUUGAAAAAUAGAUAGUUCAGAUCGUUGAAGUUUGAUGUGGUGUAGACUCCACAACUAAUUUUUAUUUUUAUUUUCCUUCCAAGAACUAUUCGUUGAACUAGCAAGGAAAACAAUUCAAAGCACGACAACCUGAAGAAUGUUAAGGUUCUAUCGUGAAACCAAUUAUUAAUAUGGAGAGUAGCCUAACUACUUAUAAGCAUAAUUUUUUUUUUCCGAUGUGAGAUUCAUACUCUUACCAUGUCCCCUCCUAUGUGGCUAAUUUUCAAGCUAUAAUACAUGAACUACACAAAUUAGGUGAUGCAGAACACAUGUCAUUUUUAGAUUUCACACAUGAGAUAAUCUGUGCUGAUACAAUGACGAAAGUUGAGAUUUCACCAUAAAACAAAUUGUUAAUAUAGGGAGCAGCUCAACUACUUAUAAGUAAUGCAAGGUCCAUUCUUUUCUUGAUGUGAGAUUUAUACUCUAAACAAAAACGUCAUAACCCAACACAAAAUUGUCAUUAAUAAGAAACAACAACAACAACAACAAAGCCUUUUCCCACUAAGUGGGGUCGGCUAUAUGAAUCCUAGAACGCCAUUGCGCUCGGUUUUGUGUCAUGUCCUCCGUUAGAUCCAAGUACUCUAAGUCUUUUCUUAGAGUCUCUUCCAAAGUUUUCCUAGGUCUUCCUCUACCCCUUCGGCCCUGAACCUCUGUCCCGUAGUCACAUCUUCGAACCGGAGCGUCAGUCGGCCUUCUUUGCACAUGUCCAAAUCACCGGAGCCGAUUUUCUCCCAUCUUUCCUACAAUUUCGGCUACUCCUACUUUACCUCGGAUAUCCUCAUUCCCAAUCUUAUCCUUUCUCGUGUGCCCACACAUCCCACGAAGCAUCCUCAUCUCCGCUACACCCAUUUUGUGUACCUGUUGAUGCUUCACCACCCAACAUUCUGUGCCAUACAACAUCGUUGGCCUUAUUGCCGUCCUAUAAAAUUUUCCCUUGAGCUUCAGUGGCUUACGACGGUCACACAACACGCCGGAUGCACUUUUUCCAUCCAGCUCGUAUUCUAUGGUUGAGAUCUCCAUCUAAUUCUCCGUUCUCUUGCAAGAUAGAUCCUAGGUAGCGAAAACGGUCGCUUUUUGUGAUCUUCGCUAGAUUGCUCCGGUCAUUAGUGUGGAUAAGUAUAUAAAUGGAUAGAGAUAGGAAAGCAAACACAAGAUGUACGUGGUUCACCCAGAUUGGCUACGUCCACGGAAUAGAAGAGUUCUCAUUAAUUGUGAAGGGUUUACACAAGUACAUAGGUUCAAGCUCUCCUUUAGUGAGUACAAGUGAAUGAUUUAGUACAAAUGACAUUAGGAAAUAUUGUGGGAGAAUGAUCUCGUAAUCACGAAACUUCUAAGUAUCGGAGUGUGGUGUCGUCUUGACUUGCCUUAUCUGUCUCAUAGGUAGAUGUGGCAUCUUCUCUGGAAGUACUCUUCCUCCAUCAGGGGUGGUAUCUUUAACUGGUGGAGAUGCACAAGGUAAUGUAUCAAUUUCACUUGAAGCUUACUUGUAGUUUCAGGCUUGGUCAAGCGCGAUACAAACCAUGUAGUAGGAGUCUCCCAAGUCGCCGAGCUAGGGGGUCUGCUGAAAGAGGUGACAGACAAGGUAAGCAAUCAGAGAGCUCCGACUGAUUGUUCACCUUCUCCCCAUCUUGCAGCAGCAUGAAGGAUAAAGAGAAGAAAAAUGAGAAGAGAUGAUAUGAGAUACUUUUGCUUUUGAAGAAGUAACUUUCCACAGGCUUAUUCUUGAACUGAGCUGGAGGGUUUUCUGGUUUCCUCCAGAGUAUAAGGCCGACUGAAGAAUUUGAGGGUCAAAACAAGUCCAUCAAAUCUAGAGUACGUUCCACCCUGCUGAUAUGGGAUACUUUUGCUUUUGACAGAGUAAUGGAUGUAUCGGCACGUGUGCUGUUACGCUUGUCUCCACAUGCUUCCUUGUAUCCUUCGCACUUGCCCUAUCUGUUCCUCAAGCAGAUGCGGAAUCUUCCCUGGAAACAUAAGAUGUUGAAGAUGAGUACUCGAGAGCAAUGCCAGGUAAGUAAUCAGGUAAGGGGUUCCAGGCAGUCACUUCCUGGUUGGAAGCUUGAUUCAAAGUGCUGACUGAUUGCUCUCUUUCUCCUUGUCUUGCAGGUAAAAACAAGGCCAAAAGAAAAGACAGGGAAAAAGCAUGAUAUGGGAUACUCUUGCUUUUAACCCUGAUGAUAUGAGAUAUUCUUGCUCUAGUAUAGCUUGUUUGCAGAGGUAUUAUCGGGGGGAAAGAAAGCUGAAUAUUUCGAAAGGCUUCGUUGGGAGUGCCCUCUCAGAUAUGAUGAAGGGUUGAGCAUUUUUGCAGGUCUGCCUGUCCGUUGGGGAUGGAGGUCGACAUAUAUAGGAGUCUCCCUAACAACAAGUAGUAAUGCUAUUCAUUUACCCUGCUUGGUCAUAGCACGGUAGUGGGAGCUGCCAGUUUCACAUGUUUUAACUCUGUCAGAGCACUUUGAAAAAAAGUGGUAUGUGGUAUCUGGCUCUCGAGAUUCAGAGAACGAUGCCUCUUCGAUUUUUGAGAAAGCAAUCAUGAUGGGGGUCUGACUCUCGAGAUUCGGAGAGCAGUGUCUCUUCGAUUUUUGAGGAAGUAAUCAUGUUGGGAGUCUGGCUCUCAAGAUUCGGAGGGCGGUGCCUCUUCGAUUUUGGAGCAAGCAAUCUUGUUGGGAGUGUUGUCUCGAAUGUGAGUAAAGGUUGGACAUGUUUGCUAGUCUACCUUGCCACGAAGCACAAAGGUUGACACACAGGGACUUUCCAAUUAUCCAGCAAUGGUACUGUUCCUUUACCCUCUCUUCGAUUUUGAGAAAGUAGUCAUGUUGGGAGUCUGGCUCUCGAGAUUCGGAGGACGGUGCCUCUUCGAUUUUGGAGCAAGCAAUCUUGUUGGGAGUGUUUUCUCGAAUGUGAGUAAAGGUUGGGCAUGUUUGCUAGUCUACCUUGCCACGAAGCACAGAGGUUGACACACAGGGACUUUCCAAUUAUCCGUACUGUUCCUUUACCCUUGUGGGUAAUAAUAUGGUAGCUAGACCUUCAAAAUUUAUGUGUCUAAACUUUGUUAGUGCUGUUUCUUUGCUAUUCUUUUACCUUUCUUGGUCAGAGCGAUGUAGUGGGAGCUGCAAGCUUACGUGCUCAACUUUGGCAGAGAACUUUGGCAAAGUUAUCUAUGGUACCCAUGAGUUAUUGUUGCGUGUGGGAAGUGGGUGAUUGAACAGUAAGAUUCAUGUGCUUUCUACUUCACCAGAAGUCUUCGACAAAAAUGCCCAUAAUUUCUGCAAAGCUGAGUGUGCGUGUGACAGGUGCUGACAAGGCUAGAAAAGUAGGUGCCUCUUCGAUUUCUGAGAUCGGCCCUCGUGGUCUCUGAGCAGCCCAGCUUUUGAGAAAGCGAGCGCCUCUUCAAUUGAUUCGGAGAACGAUGCCUCAUCGAUUUUUUGAGAAAGCAAUCAUGCUGGGGGUCUGGCUCUCGAGAUUCGGGGAGCAGUGUCUCUUCGAUUUUUUGAGAAAGUAAUCAUGUUGGGAGAGUGGCUCUCGAGAUUCGGAGGGCGGUGCCUCUUCGAUUUUGGAGCAAGCAAUCUUGUUGGGAGUGUUUUCUCGAAUGUGAGUAAAGGUUGGGCAUGUUUGCUAGUCUACCUUGCCACGAAGCACAGAGGUUGACACACAGGGACUUUCCAAUUAUCCAACAGUGGUACUGUUCCUUUACCCUUGUGGGUAAUAAUAUGGUAGCUAGACCUUCAAAAUUUAUGGGUCUAAACUUUGUUAGUGCUGUUUCUUUGCUAUUCUUUUACCCUUCUUGGUCAGAGCGGUGUAGUGGGAGCUGCAAGCUUCACGUGCUCAACUUUGGCAGAGAACUUUGGCAAAGUUAUCUGUUGGUACCCAUGAGCUAUUGUUGCGUGUGGACUACUUCCCCAGAAGUCUUUGACAGAAUGCCCAUAAUUUCCGCAAAGAUGAGUGUGGCGUGUGACAGGUGCUGACAAGGCUGGAAAAGUAGGGCGCCUCUUCGAUUUCUGAGAUCGGCCCUCGUGGUCUCUGGGGAGCCCAGCUUUUGAGAAAGCGAGCGCCUCUUCGAUUUCUGAGAUCGGCCUUCGUGGUCUUUGAGCAGCCCAACUUUUGAGAAAGCAAACGCCUCUUCGAUUUCUGAGAUCAACCCUCGUGAUCUCUAAGCAGCCCAACUUUUGAGAAAGCAAACGCCUCUUCGAUUUCUGAGCAGGCGCCUCUUUCGAUUUCUGAAGCUCCGUCGAGUGCAGAUUUUUAUAGGGGCUGGCAUUAAGUUCCAAAGCACACUUGAAUCUCCACCAGUAGAAGCUUCAUUCUUGCACUUCUAAGAUCUUGAUUUGUCCGACCUCUUCUCUCUUCAACACCUUUGAAAAUGUCUGGCCCCUCCGACCGUCGUUUUGACUUGAACCUUGUUGAAGAGGCAGCCCCGCCUUCUCCAGACAACAUAUGGCGCCCAUCCUUCGUCUCCCCAACUGGUCCUCUUACCGUUGGGGAUUCCGUGAUGAAGAAUGAUAUGACCGCUGCGGUGGUGGCCAGGAACCUUCUCACUCCCAAAGAUAACAGACUACUUUCCAAACGGUUUGAUGAGUUAGCUGUUAAGGAUUCGCUGGCUCUCAGUGUUCAGUGUGCAGGUUCUGUGUCUAAUAUGGCCCAACGCCUAUUUGCUCGAACCCGCCAAGUUGAAUCAUUGGCGGCUGAAGUGAUGAGUCUCAAACAGGAGAUUAGAGGGCUCAAGCAUGAGAAUAAACAGUUGCACCGGCUCGCACAUGACUAUGCUACAAACAUGAAGAGGAAGCUUGACCAGAUGAAGGAAACUGAUGGUCAGGUUUUACUUGAUCAUCAGAGAUUUGUGGGUUUGUUCCAAAGGCAUUUAUUGCCUUCGUCUUCUGGGGCUGUACCGCGUAAUGAAGCUCCAAAUGAUCAACCUCUGAUGCCUCCUCCUUCUAGGGUUCUGUCCAGUACUGAGGCUCCAAAUGAUCCCCCUCCGGUGCCUUCUCUUUCUGGGGGCUCUACCGACUGCUGAGACUUCUCCUAAGCAACCUUUGUGAAGGCUCCCUCUUGUGUGUUUAUUUUGACUCAUGUAUAUGUACAUAUUUGUAGCUUAUCGGGGAUAUCAAUAAAUAAGCUUUCCUUCAUUUCAACGUAUUGUGUUAAAUACACCAAAGUCUUCUUCGCUAAGUUCUUUGAAUUUUCUUUUGUUGAAGCUUGUAUGUUGAAGCUUUCUGAGUGGAGCAUGUAGGUUAGGGUAGUGUUCCCUUAAUUUCCCGAGUGAGGAAAACUUCUCGGUUGGAGACUUGGAAAAGUCCAAGUCACUGAGUGGGAUCGGCUAUAUGAAUCUUAGAACGCCAUUGUGCUCGAUCCUGUGUCAUGUCCUUCGUUAGAUCCAAGUACUCUAAGUCUUUUUCUUAGAGUCUCUUCCAAAGUUUUCCUAGGUCUUCCUCUACCCCUUCGGCCCUGAACCUCUGUCCCAUAGUCGCAUCUUCUAAUCGGAGCGUCAGUAGGCCUUCUUUGCACAUGUCCAAACCACCGUAACCGAUUUUCUCUCAUCUCUUUCCUUCAAUUUCGGCUACUCCUACUUUACCCCGGAUAUCCUCAUUCCUAAUCUUAUCCUUUCUCGUGUGCCCACACAUCCAACGAAGCAUCCUCAUCUCCGCUACACCCAUUUUGUGUACGUGUUGAUG
RNAcentral lists this long non-coding RNA (48723 nucleotides) under Malus domestica (apple). Lineage: Eukaryota; Viridiplantae; Streptophyta; Magnoliopsida; Rosales; Rosaceae. The record is from RNAcentral.